This is a long non-coding RNA of Homo sapiens (human), 63273 nucleotides long. RefSeq lists it as uncharacterized. The transcript is spliced from 2 exons. The record is from RefSeq and is a predicted model, not a curated record. NCBI's taxonomy places the organism in Eukaryota, Metazoa, Chordata, Mammalia, Primates, Hominidae.
GUUGUUGCUAUGUUUACCCCAUGACCGUUAAUUCCUCCUGAAAAGAGAGAAAGAAGGAAAGAGAGAAUAUGAAAAAAGAAAUAACAGUGGGGCAAAGCUGCCAGGGGUCUGUAGUGUGGCCGUGGUCACUGCUCUCUCCUAACACAAAUGUGAAUACGAAGAGAGGAACUACAAGACCCGUUGCGCGACAUACACGUCUGGUUGGACUCUGGUGACUAUUGAGCUAAAUACACACCACACUUACACGAUAGGAAAGAUUUGAUUGAAUUUUGCAUUUGGAACUUGUUGACUUUGAAGCGAUCAAUAAGAAGACUGUUUAUUUUAGAUGCACAUAAUUUGCCCUGAGAAAUGUUUUAAGGAGGAGAGAGCACAGCUUUUUUUCCCCCGGAGCUGUUGGAGCGAAUGGGAUUGCCAGAUGGGCGAUUUCCCUCUGUGAUGUUAAAGCUGUAAUAUAUAUUCAGAGCAGAUUGGGCUGCUGCCUGUGAUGAGGAGGAUAUUACAUUUAUAAAUUUUAAAUCGGAGCUCGGACAAUGUGCUGAGAGCAGAAAUUGGAUGGUUUGACUGUUCACCGUAUUGAUACUUAAAUGUGAUUUCUAGGUAGUACUAAUAAUAAUCAUUGCAAUAAUUCAUGAAAAACAUACUGGCAUAGGCAAUUAUAUAAUUCAUGACAUUUAACAGCAGAUUUGAGUGUGUAAAUUGCCCCCCUCUUAAGUCUCUGCUUACUAUUAAAUAAUAGUCACAUAAUUCAUUUCCCUAUGUUUAAAUGUCCGAUGUGCAAAUGAUGUUAACUUAGGAGCCUUGUUAUCAUAUAUUAGAAUUCUAGGGGUGAAAGUUUACAUACAUAUAUAUAAAGUAGACACUUGUGUAUAUGUAUAAAGUGGCGUUACUGGCUCUUGUUUUCUAAUUCUUUACUCUGAUUAUUUUUAGAUUUUGUUUGUCUCAAAUGUGCGGCCUAAAGGAACCAGAGCUACAAACCUAAAAGACUAGAAAGUGGGCAAGUGCUCACACUCUGGCAGCUCUGCUGUUGCAAAUUAAAAGUGUGUUGUGGUCAGGAAAUGAAAGCUACAAUGUCUCUUUUGAACAAGUCGUUUAUCAAGAGAAACAUCUAUCAGGGACUGCCUUGUCACAUUGAUCCUCUAAAAGUUAGGUCCGAGGUGGAAGCUGCUUUGAUGUUUUUGAUCCUAAAUUUAAUACAACAGAAAAAAAGCAAGGAUAUUUUGACCAGUAUAGAUUUUUAAAAAUGUUUCCUGGAACCAACAAGAUCUAUUUAUUAGGAUUUCACUAUGUGUGAAGUUUUCUGGACGUAACAGUUGAAAGGUUGAAGGGGAAAUCCCAGACUUUAUAAAUUGAUGAUUGUUAGAAUAUACAUUUAUAAUAUAUUUAGUGAUGGCUGGCUUCUUGGUGCACAUGGAAUGGACGUUUUGAACACAGAUUGUUCAAAAGGAAAAUUAUUUUGAAAGAUUAUUUUGGAAGAAUAUGUAGAGAGUCAAGAGUUUUUCAUUCAAAUUUUAGUUAUCCUCUUCUGUUCUUCCUCUCUUUUACUCCUUCAUGCUUGUUUCUUAUCUUCAUUAUAUUUGUGACAAAUUAGCUUUUAUUUGGAAAAGAAACAUUAUUUCUACAAAAACCAUGUCCCAAAACAUGCUUGUACACAUCGUCUCUAUUGUUUAUUAAUUGUGCAUGUUUAUGGUUAUCAAUAUAAACUGCAUGGACACAUAAGUCCUUUGGAAUUUCAGCUUAAAAAUAGAGGUAUCAGAUUAAACAUGCUAUGUGUUCUUGAAUAAUGAAUAUGUUGUAUGCAUUAUUUAAAAUUGAAAAGGUAUUGUUAGGAAAAUGACCAAGUUGAAACAAAAUUGUGAAAGCAGUUAGAAGCAGCCUGCUUCAUUUUGGGAGGCAAAGAUAGGAAAGAAGUGUUUCUUCUUUAAAAUAGAGUUUUUGGAUACUUGUCUUACACUGCUGGAGGCAACUUGUUAUUUCAUGUGGGUCUAUCAUCAAAUAAGCAGGGAAGAGUAGGGUGGGAGUUUUGAGAAGUGUAAUACUUGCUAAUUAAUCAUGUCUGAAAUGAAAGAAUCAUAGCAGGGUAAUAAAGUCUCAUUGUUGUUUUCCUGGAAGAGGGUAAGACUUCUGUUUGGAAGCUGUAUGUGUGAGUUGAUUUGCUUUUCUCUUCUCCUAAAAACACAGUUUAUAGGGUCUCUUUGGAAUUAUUUCAAGAAACAUCUUUUUUUUUUUUCUGAAAAUAGAGUAUUUUUCUUUCUCCUGGCUGUAUUUCAUCAGUAAGAUUCUUAAAACAGUAUCUGAUAUCUUCUGAGUGAAAAUAGGGGGUUUUAUUCUUUAGUUAUAUUUAAGACUCCUGUAGCUGAGUUUCCAGGGCUGAUAUUUUUUUCCUUCCCAUAAAUAGAAAAUAUUUUUUGUUUUUGUUUUUAUUCAUGUUAGGCAGGAACUUUGAAAACCUUUUUGUAGGUAGUUACUUCUGAUAGAUAUACAAGAGUGCAGAAAUUUCAUUAAUUACUUUUAGAUGAUAAUAUAAGAGUGUAACCAGAGAGAAGAAAAUAGGUAGUAUUUCCAAGAAUCUAUAGAGACCAUCUGUAUUAUUACUUUGCAUUUCUAAGAUAGUUUAAGAUAUAAACCACCUGAAAAGAUAAAUGGGUAAUUUCAUUAUAGGUUAAUUAUUUUUUCCUGAGCUUCUGGUUGUCACCUUUUAGAAUUUAGUAUCUUACUCAGGACAUUCAUAGGGACAGAUCCACAAAGUUUGAGAGUCUGCACUGUUUUUCAGAAUGUUCAUGUCAAGGUGAAGACAGCCAUGCUAAUACUUCCCUGUUUUUGUCUGUGUGAGUGUUUGGAUGCCUUGAAUGAUUGCCUAAUUAAGUAAUCACUUUUAGUGGCCCAAAAUCAACAGAAUUACUAGAUGUAUUUGAAACAAUUGCAGGCUUUUAAGGUUUGAACUUUCUAGUUCUUAGAACCUUGGUUUAAUAGAAAUAGAAAGGUGCUAUUUUACCUUUGAUCAAUAUAUUCUUGAGUGCAGAUUUCACAUACUACUCUUUAUAAAGUACUGUGUUCAUUGUUGAAGAGCAAAUAAAUUUAAUUACCAGGAAUUUAAAUUGAUUUAUAAAUUUUUGAUUGGAAGAAACUAUUCUGCAGAUGUUUGUGUGAAAUAUUGACAUAUGCUACUGAUCGAUAGAACUUGAUUAAUCAGCAUAUCUGCUGUUUUUCUUGAGUCAUUGAUAAACUAGAAUAAACAAAUGGUUCAGAAAAAGCUAUAAAUUUUAACUCUCAAUAAAAAAUAAAUGUAUGUGUCUUUCUUUUGAGAUAUACAAGAGCUAGUGUUUUAUUGAAAUCAACUGAACUUAGAAAUUAUUUGGGGGUACCACUUAGAAGCUUACAAGUCCCAAAAUUCUGCCUUUCAAUUCACACACACACACACACACACACACACACACACAAACACGGAGCAAGAGAGAGAGAUUGUACCUAUAUUAUUGUUUAUUGAAAAUGAAAGAAUUUUUUUGACACACUGCAAAUAAAUGGCCAGUUUAGCAAGUGCUUUCCAUGGUUGGAUUUUGUCAUUUUCUUCUUUUUUUCCUAAACUUGAAUUUUUAGCAUUAACUUUUUCAUUUAACUUCUGGCAGAAAUUUUAAGCAUAGCUGCUUUGGUAUGAUUGCUGAUUACUAAUCUUUUUGAUAUUUUUGAUGUUAUCAUUUAAAUGGCAAUUUUCUUUCAGAAAUGUUUAUUUUAAAAAGUAAAAUAGCAGGAAUAAGGAGUAUGAAAGAAUAUACUCAAAAUAAAUGGUACAUUGAAGUUCGAAGCAAAUCAAAAGCAAGGGGUAUGCUAAGUUUCCUUAGGGCAGCACCACAGGUGCCUGCUCAGAAGCGCUGCCUCAAUACAGCACAUCCGUAAGUACCUGUUGACAACAGUAGUCUUAGCUAAGAUACUGAGGAGGCAGAAAAGAUAGGUGAUCAGAAACCAUCAAAACAUGAGAUAUCAUAUGGCACUUUCUGUUAAUAAUAUUUACAUAUUUUAUGCAACAAAUCUGCUUGUUGUCUUGUUAUUUGAAUAUUGACACUUUGCUUAACAUUGCAUAUGGUGGGCUGUUGUUUCAGGGUGUAUCAGAAGCAGUAAAUCCAAAGGAGAAUUUCAAUUUAGAUGUAUUUAUGUUAAAUAUAUGUAUAAAUGGAUAUGUUUGCUCAUAUUUUAGCUCUCAUGACUUUCACAAAGCAUUUAUAGUAUCACUGCUUCCAAUCAUUUUUGAAACUGUUACAUCUUGAAAGUAGAAUGCAUGAUUUAUUAUAUGAAGGCCCAAGGUUAAACGUUUUUUACCCUAUAGCUCAGCUUAAGUAUUGGUAUUUUUGUGUUGGGAAAUGUUUUUUAGAAAGUAUGUUUUAUAAUUUUGGAAAAUUUGCUUCUUACUAGGUUUCUGUUCUCAUUUUCAUAGGAAGAGGAGCUUUUAACCAAACAGUUAUUAAGGAUAUAUAAUAUACAGUAAAGUUUUUUAUACUAUAGAAUAUGAAAUGUAAAAUACCUAUAAAAUGUUUUCUUUUACCCCAUUUCAUUAUGUUGAAAAUACCUUUACUCUCUUUCUUUGCUAUGUUUUAAUUUCUGCUGGUAUUUUACAUACUUAUUCCAUUUUGCUUAUGGAUAUAUUCCUGGCAUGAGAACAGAAACUGCAUUUAACUCCCUUUAGCUAUAUAUAUAUUUCAUAUAUAUUUCAUAUGUGUAUGUAGAUAUAUGAAAUAUAUAUGUGUGUAUGUAUAUACCUAUUUUGUUUUUCCCAAUUCAACUGUUUGCCUUAUGUCAACUGGAUGCUUUUUAAACAACUGAUAAUUAAAUGUCAACUAUUUAUGAGAGUAAACUCAUCUGAGAAUGGGUAAACUCUACUUUCAUGCAUUAGUUCAUGAUGAAAUAUUAUUCUUGGAAAUAGUAACAUCUCAGAUAAAAUUUUAAAGGUAGUGCAAUGUGAAGCCGUGGGUUUCUGUAUGUCGUUCUAAACUUUUUGCUUAUCUUUUGACUUACUAUCCUCACCAUUAAGAGACAUUUUUACCUUCACCUAGGACCAGCUACAUAAUUUCUGAGACCCAGCGCAAAAUUAAAAUGUGAGGCAUCUUGUUCAAAAAUUAAUUUGAAGACAGCAACACACAGCAUUAAACAAAAUGCAGGGCCCUGUAUUGUGUGGUGGGGUGGGGGCCUGUGUGCCUGAACAAAUGAUGGGGCAAUGAAGCCAGCCCUGCCUUCACCACCUACAGACUUUUAUCUGGGGCCACCUUUGUAGAAGUCACUAGGUUUCCUAUUGGAGACUGACUAUUCCACAAUGAUUCCAUCUGCCUCUGCCGAAAAAGAUACUAAUGAGAGUUGAGUAAGAAAACUGAUGGGAAAUGAACCAUUAAGUAUCUCCUGCUCUUUCUAUAUCUGAACUGGGGAUUGAAAUAUUUGCUUUUGUCUCAUCUUGCCCUGUGUCUCAUAUAUCUCCUAUAUAUCAUGUGACUUUUUGCUCAAGUAUUCUUAAAAGGAACUUUGUGUGUGUGUGUGUGUGUGUGUGUGUGUGUGUGUGUGUGUUUAAUGGUUUGCAUGCAGUUACAUACUUCAAUACUUAUCCCAGGCCCAGAAUAAUUGUAGUAGUAAGAGCUUAGGAGGUUCUCUGUUGCCAAGUACUGCCACUAUCCCUCCUCGGUUAAGGCACAAGAAAAAUGAGUAUUUUUAUGUAGAAAUCCUACAUUAUCUGAUACAAAAUGCUGACCAUUAAAAAAACGAAAGUAUGCUCAUUGAGUGACAGGAAGGGGGGGGCAGACCCCCAAAUAACCUUGUUAUAAUAGUGUCAGUAUUGAUACGUGGACAUUAGAAAGUGGUAUUUUAGCUAUAUAAACAUGUGACAGCUGUGUUAAAGAGGAAAAGUAACCAUUUCAUGCGGUAACACUAAUGUUGCAGUAUGCUGUAUUCAAAUCCUGGACUUAGCUUCUCAAUUUGUAUUGCAAUAACCUCCCUCUCCCUGAAAAUUAGAGUCAUAUGACUCCUUUACCAACGUUCUGUGCUGAUAGGUGGACAAAACAUUUACAUCGUUGCUUCCCAAAGUACUUCUCAAUGAGAUCAAACUUCAUAUUGCGAUACCUAAAACUGAAUUUUGAAGUCAAGUGGCUUUUUCAAAUCAAAACUGAGAUAUGAUGGAAUGUCCAGCAAGUAUGGAUCUGAGUGCACUUGAAGUUGCACCAUUUAUUUUCAAAAGAUAUUUCUCACAUCAGAUGACUCUGCCAGGAAGGGAAAUAUCAAAGAGCUUGGAAAAAGUAACUAUUCUUUUAUGUAAUCCAAGACUGGGGUGAAAGUGGGGGGCUUUAAAGAUAUUUUUGAGGAAGAAAAAAAUUGAACUUAUUUUGAAUGCCUUGUUAGACUUUGUCGGGAGAAAUGCUACAUAUGAGACUUUCUAAGAAGAAAAAUCUUUGCCCUGUGUAAUAACAAGGCAUUGCUCUCCACACUGAUAGGCACUUUAAUGAAAGAAAGCUGGGAAAUAACUAUUAUAACAGUGUCCCAUUUAAGUAAAAAUUUACCCCACAGUUUAGGAAUAUUUUUUUUUUUUUUAACUAAGCCAUUGCAAACUUGAAAUAUUUUAGUAGGUAGUUAGCCACAAUUCACAUUUUCUAAUGUUCUGUGUUCUAUCUCCAUAUUCUGUAGUAUAAUUUCAACGGGGACUCAUCUUUUCCUGCUUUACUCCUAUACUUGGAAUCUUGUAUUUUCAUAUUAAAUGUUUUGCUUUAAAAAUGAUUAAACUAGGAAUCUGGGUAAAUAAGUGGCAAUAUAGUAUAUUGUUGUGCCAAAAAGAGCUUUUUUAUUUUUCAUCUGUUCAUUUCUUUUCCCUUUCAAUUUCAAAUUGAAGAUUGUAAACUCUUUCUUUUAAAUAAUAUACCUCAAUGAUGCUAAAUUAUAAAUCUUAAUUCGGUAUGAUUCAGUGAUUUUAAUCUUACAAGAUAAUUAUUCUGAGUAGGAUAAAAAAGGUUCCCUUAAGAUUGAAGGCAUUUUCAUUACAAUCCCCAUUUUCAGAUCAAACAAAUACUAUGAAAUAAACAGUACUAUUAUUCUUUUAUGCUUAAUAGUUUGUACUUUUCAAUUAAAGUAUAUGGAUGAAGAAAUAAGGCUAUAGAUAAUGGCAGUCUCAUUGUUUGCAAACUAAGUGCUUUUGAUAAAUUUUACUGCUAGGAAUUACAUGGAUCUAAGGGAAUCUUUUAGAUAAAAAUUACAGUUUUGAUUAUCUAAAUGGAAUAUGUUCUUGUGCAUGUGCAUAGAUAUAUUUCUUUGUGAAGGUAUUGAUGUCAGGGACACUUUUGGUAUUCCUUUAUGAGUAUUUAGGUUAACGGGGUUAGUUAGAAAAUGUAUCCUUUCCUGGAAAAUGAAAAAUUACAUUCAAGCAGAGGUAAAAGAGUAGAACAUAUUCAUGACUUUAAGUACUUAAAAAGAUAUUUUAUGAGUCAUUUUUGAAGAAUAAUUCCCAAUAUGUAACUUGUUAAGAAUAAUCACCAUUUUUACUUUCUAAAGCACAUCUAUAUUAAAACUGACUUUCUGUUCAUGACUCGCAAAUCUGGAGUCAAUUUUAGGCCCAACUUACAAAAGAUGUGGGUCUUAUCCCCCCUGCCCUUAUCGUGGUAUCCUAUGCCAGUAGAGUCAGUACAAAGUUCUCUUUUAAAGAGAGAUUUUCAUUUGCAUUAUUCAGAAGAUUAAGCAACGUUUUUGGGAGGGAAAUACUGAUAGGACCCAAAUGUAGACAUUGGGACCCUGAAUGGCCUGUAUCCUUGUCUGACAAACUGGAAGGAAAAAAUAUUACCAGCUUUGGAAUUUUACAUGCCUAUAUGAACAGUGCUUUUUCUUUCUGUGGGAAGAUUUUAAACAUACUAUGAAUACAAUAAGUGUUACCUAAUUGGAAAAAUAUGUUUCCUAUAAUUCUAAGAGUACUAAUCAACCAAUCAUCGAUAUCAAUUUACUCAUGGAUGGUAAGAUAGUAGAAUUUUAUUCAGAAAUGAAUGUCCAGUUGGAGCUGGUAUCUCUUUAGAAAGUGAAAAAAAUUACACAUAAGCAAAAUUCUUUUGGUAAUUUUUUAAAAACAUGGGUGUGAAAUCUCCAUCAAUAAAAUUUUUGGCAGUUAAAGUAUUACAAAAAAAAUUGAAAGCUCUUUAUUAUGUUUUGUUCUUUAAUAAGCCUCUAAAUGAGCAUAUACAGUGCAAUAAUGCCUUUUUUGUUUACUUUUUUAAUUUUUGUCUUGUUUUAUUUUGUUUUAGCAUAAAGUAAAAAGAACUUAUAGGUAAACUAUUUUGUACUAUUUAUUUUUAAAGAUAUCUAGUAAGGACAGUACAACAUAUAAUAUAGGUUUGUUCAUAAUCAUGGGUAAAAAAUCUACAAUUUUACCACCAUGUAAUGGUAGUUCCUUGAAAUUUUACCCUACUACAGCAAAAUGCCACAGUCACUAAGAUGGGAGGUGUUGCUGAUAUAUGAUUGGAAUGCACAUGUAUACUUAAAUACAUAAUUUUUAAAAAAAUUGUCUUUAUUUUCUAACAGCUUGUUGGUGUCCUUUGCUUAGGGCUAAGGGGAAAAUGUUUUCUGCUAUUUUGCUAUUGGCAUACUCACCAAGAACCUUGCUGUCUAAGCCAUCUUCCUACCUACCUAGCUGUGUACCGUUUUGAAGAGCUGUUUUUUUCUUUUCUUUUCUUUCUUUUUAAAAAAUUUUUGAUAUUUGUCUGCAAGACUGGUUAUUACUUGAUCAUCUGGAAAAUCAAAUUUCAUUUCAGCCACUGGAAUAUGAUACUUAGAUCAUGAGAAGUAGUUUGAAUUAAUUAAGAGGAUAAUAUUAGGGUUUAUAUUAGGGAAGAGUAAAGCAGCAUUUGUUGUCAUGGACAACAUGUAGGAAUAGGGGAAGGAGGCACAAGUUCGAGAAAGUCAUUGAGGCAAAGCUAACAUUAAAGACUGUUUUCAUGUGGUUGUUACACAGAAUGAUAUUGGCAAUUUUGUAAAUUAAACCCUAAUAUUAAUUAUGUAAAAAAAACCUUAUCAGUUAUUAAGAAUCAUUGACUAAUAAUCAGUAAAUAGCAUGUAGCACUAUUUUAACAAAUUAUAUUCUCCGUAUCUUUUCGUCCCCAUAAUUUUAAAAAGUGUGAAAACAUAUAUAUAUGCCUUUAAAGAUGGUUCAACUUAUUCUCAGACUCUUUUAUUCUCUCUUAACAUACUCAAGUUUUUAGGCCACAAAUGAAGUGACAGAAUAAAAUCCAUUGAAGAUGGAGGUAUAUGUCCUUUAAGGCUUCUUUUGGAAACUAAUGUGUUUACUGCCAUUAUGGAAGUUGAAAUCAUUGAAUACUUUGAAUUGGUUUUAGAAAAAUUUGAUGUUAAAUUUUGUAUCAACUCAGUAAAUGCUUGCUAUAACUUCCUGACCAAACUAAAGCCCCAAACAAGCAAAAUAAAUAAAUAAAUAAUAAAAAAACUUUUGCCUAAGCCCUACACCAGAUCAGUUAGAUGAGAUUUUAAACUCCUCAGAUGAUUCUAAUGUAAACCAAACAUUUAUAUAUAUCAAGAGAUCUUAAAAUUUUUACCUUUUAAAAAAAUGUCAUUCUUCCUGGUUUGAAGUUAGAAAAAUGAAGAUAUCUAUUCAGAACUGAAUAUACUAAUGACAUGUACAGAUAGCUCAUCAUCCGGCUGAAGUUCAACAACCUAUCUAGACUUUUGAAAACAUUUCUGUCAGUCUUGCAAGAACAUCUCAGGAAAGUAACGAUGAUGAAGGACAGUGUCAGCAGAAGCCCACAGUCGAAGAUCAUUUUGUUACCUUGGGUAAGCCAUUCAACCUCACUGAGCCUUAGUUUUUAGUUUACUUUUUUAUAAAAGAAGAGAUGAUUGAGGUGAUCCGAUGAUGACUAAGAUUUCUUGCAGUUUUGUAUACUCCAUGACUGCUUUGUCAUGGACCAGUGAACUCAAGUAACUUGGACCUUGCUAGUCGUCUAAAAGAUGCAAAAUAUUUUUGUUUCUCUUAAGAAAGCUCCAAAAAUUAUCUUGGAAACAAUGUAGAAAGCUCAAGGACCAUUUAUUACUUUGUUAAGCCCAUCAGAAGAGAUGAUAAGCAUUCAUUAAAUAUGCUUACUAAUUGGUUGCAUGCAAAAGUGUCAGCAAUUCUAAUAUCUUAAGAGUUGAUGGGUAUUAGUUAGCUAAUGCUUUUCUCUUGUAAGAGAUUUCAAUAGAGUGGCAAUCAGAUUAACUUAAGCAGUGGAGUUAGAAACCUCAAAUCCUUAAAAUAUUUAGUAUGAAAGGUGGACUUUUAUCAAACUGAAAGCAAUACUUUUUUCCUGUACUUUAUCAGCAACUAGUCUUUGUCCACCUUCUUUUUGCUUCCUGGCAUGUUCUUCUUCGCUUGUUGAAAUCCUACUAGGACUUUGGUAUCCAGGUCAGUUGUUGCAUCAUCCAUGAAGCCUUCUUUGAGGCACCCUAAUUAGGAUUGAUUUCGACGUCUACUUAAUUGUCCCUUAGAACAUUUGAAAUGUCUCCUUUAGAUCACUUACCAUCAUCUUUCUCCUACUAUAGAUUGCUAGGCAUUUGUGUUUCUCUAUUAUGAAGCUGUAAAUUGCUUGAGAGCACACACAUCUAAUUCAUUUUUAUUUUUUAUCUCCUCAACAUGUGUGUAUAGCAUAAGACCUAUAAUAGGAAUUCAAUAAAUGUUUGGUGAAUUGAAUUGAUAAAAGCAUAGGAAACUAUCACUUGGUUAAUAUUUUAUUUUAUUUUAUUAUUUUAUUAUUAUUAUUAUUUUUGAGACGGAGUCUUGCUCUGUCACCCAGGCUGGAGUGUAGUGGCGCGAUCUCGGCUCACUGCAAGCUCCACCUCCCGGGUUCACGCCAUUCUCCUGCCUCAGCCUCCCCAGCAGCUGGGACUACAGGCGUCUGCCACCACCACGCUCGGCUAAUUUUUUUGUAUUUUUUAGGAGAGACAGGGUUUCACCGUGUUAGCCGGGAUGGUCUCGAUCUCCUGACCUCAUGAUCCGCCCGCCUCUGCCUCUCAAUGUGCUGGGAUUACAGGCGUGAGCCACCAUGCCCGGCCAGUUAAUAUUUUAUUAAUCUUAUUUUAAAAAAUUAAAAGAUGAUUUUUAAAUAUUUAAAGAAUGGAUCUAUGAAAAUUGUAUAUUUCAUUAAAAAAUUGAAAUUUCUAUAUUCUUUAUAUAAUGUUAUUACCAAAGAAAGACUUUAUAACCCUGAAAAAUAGUUUUAUAAUUAUAUACUUAAAAAGGAGCUUACAGUCAUUAAUUCUAUUUUUGUAUCUCUAGAUAGGAGAGCCUUUAAACUCUUUUAUAAAAAACAUUAUGCUAUCUUUAAAAUCUUAUAAAACAUAAAUCUAUAGACUACUUUGAUUAUAGGUGUAACAAAUAGCUUUAAAUCACUAUUCUCCAUGAAAUAUUUUUUUCUCAUGUGUUUGCAGACAGAAAAAUUUGAGGGUACAGAAAUCAUAAAAUAUUAGACUCUGAGACUUCCAGAUUGACUUCUUACCAAUAUAGAGUUGAUUGACAGUUGGUCAUUCUGCCUUUGGUUGAACGUGGGAAAUAAGUACCUCCUAAGGCAUUUCUUUCUAUUUUGUCCUUUCUCUGAUAAAUAGGCAGUUUGCAAAUAUGUGCACUAUCAGUAUUCAAGACAGAUUUCCUUGGAAACAUGAUGAUACUGGGGUGGUAAAAUGUGAGAUGCAAACUAGUUGAUCUACAGUUGAUACGAUAACUUAAUUCGUGAAUGUCUUUGGUUAAUAUUUUAAUUGGGACCUUUAUCUAACUAAAUAGUGUCUAUUAAUUUAUUUUGUACUGAAUACUGGGCAGUAAACAAUUUAGCUGGGAUUUCACCCAAUAGCUCUUUUAGGUGUUCAAUAGCUUUACCAGUUGGGUUUGUGUGCUCGUGGAAGGGUCAGCUACUUUCUCAAAUCUGCCGUGAAUGUUACAAUAAAUAGCAUUACAGUAUUUCUAAGGCAAAUUCAAUUUGAUCAAAUGUUAAAUUAUAAUGAGUUAGGCAACAGUAUUUGACAAGAUUUAUAUUUCAUAUUUGUGUUUUUAAACCUAAAGAUGUACCAGAGAAAAGCAUUUGCUCACAUUAUUUCGUUAAAUAACCCAGAAAAAAACAAAGACUCUAUUGUCAUUCUUUUAAAAACACAAUUUUACUAAGAAAACCUAUAACCUUUACUGAAAGCUCACUCGUUUUCUUCCAAUUUGGGCUCUUGAGAGCUGAAAAGUUCUAGAUGCUAUCUUACCACUUCAUAUUGAAAUCUAGGUUGAUGUCAUACACUCUACGCAGAAGAAAGUAUCUGUAGUGCUGAUUGUUGAACCUGAAUCAUUACAAAGAUGUGCCAUUUAGUGAGCUAUAAUGGACAAAUGUUGCUUAGUUAAUUGUAUAAAAACACUGCAUCUUCAGCAAAGAGCUCUAAUAGUAAAGGACAGUACAUUGAAGGUAGAAUAAUAAAGAUUGUGAAACAAUAUGUUAAAAGUAGCAAAAGCAUUUUUGCAGUGUGACUUCAACAGUGAAGACCCGUGUGUUUAGUUCCUUUGUUAAAUAGACACUUCUGGUUUUCUAGAAACCAUUCAAUGUGCUUCAAGUGAGUUAAAAUUGUUAAAAUAUAGAUUAAAAGCCAUCAGAUUGAGAGUAAAGGCCACAAAUUGUAAAACCUUAUAGUGGUAGCUUGCCAACAACCAACUUAAAUCCAGGGAAUAUUUAAAAGAGGCUUAAAAUUCUACUUGGUUUAUAAUCAGGAAGCUGUGGGGUUUUAAAUUAAUAAAAAUAUUCAUGAGAAUUAUUUACAUGUAAAAUGCACCCAUUUUCCUUUACCCUUCUGGUAGAAGAAAAUUGGGUGAUCCUUCUCAAAAGGGUAAUCAUGUAAGUUGGUGGCCACAAAGUAUGAACCAUGGUUAAAAGUCAGUGGUUAAUGGUUUAUUUUGUUGUCUGCCUUCUUUUACUGCUUCCUCCUUCCUUCCCUUUCUUUUUAUUUACUUAUUUAUUUAUUUUGACCCUAUAUGCAUAGUUGACAGCUGUCAGUAAUAGAAUUUUUGGCUAGAUCUAGACACAGCAAUUCUUGAAAAAUAUGAAACUAUAUUUGUCCUUUUGGCCUAUGAUCUGAAUUAAAAGAUAAAAUUAUUUCAGGCCAAUACAACUACAUAGGUACAUGCAUGCGUGCACACGUGUGUGUGUGUGUGUUUAUUUAGUAGAGCAACCUGUCUUUGCAACAAAUGACAGUGUUGAAAGCUCUUUCAUUCUGAAUGGACCAGUUAGUAGCUCCAUACAGACACCAUCUAAGUGAACCUAUUUAAAUACCUUUCCAGAUUCUUAACUAAGUGGUGCAAGUCUGUCUUGGAGGUGGCACUUAUUUGUCCCUUAGGGGUUAAGUUUGGUUUGAUAUUCAGUUGAAGUGUCAGUAAAUAAGAUUUAUGAGAAAUUAAUUAAAACUAAAAUUGAAAAUGGAUGAGGUACAAGUUUACCCUAAAAUGGCUUGAAUAUAUUUGUCCCAAAUGCAUGAAAAGAAUGUUUUCUAAUGGACUCUUUUGAUUAGAAUAGAAACUAAUCACAAAUAAACCAUUUAAAAUUUGCUAUCAUGAUACAAUUGUUUUCAUUCAGUGGUCGGCCAUGCCUUCUUUUAGCCUUGUCUUUGUCCAGGGUUUAGUUUAGUCAUGCAUAUGUCCUUGAAGAAAUGUAGCAUCUUUCACAAGAUUUUGUACAAGUGAAAUCAGAUACCAAUUUUUAUUGCAGAACCAAGCCUACAAAUGUUUCUCUUUAAAGACAUUUUUAAUAGAAACAGUAAGGUAUAAAUCAUUUAAGCAAUUACCUGGACAUUGUGGAAACGGGGCUUGGCUUAUUCUGUAGCCCCAGAUGUUUCCAGAUUCCAGUAAUAACCCGGUCCAGAUAUUUACAGCUUAAUUUUCUGUGCAUGUGCAUUUGUCCACAAAUGGCUCCUAUUUCCCAUUUUCUGUUGGACAACUGGGCUACUUAGAGGUUUAAAAAAAAUGAUUUCAGCUUGGGUGAUGACAAACAUUAAUGGUGAUAAUAAGUUGCUUCUAGAAACUUUGAUCACUUAAAAACAUAUAGAGGCUAAAUUUUAGAGGAUUUUAUACUAAAAAAUAAAUUGUUCAAAUGGCAUUUUGCUUUAUGGAUGAGACUGGGAUGAAUAACUUCCCCCAUCCCUCAAAAUUUUAGUCUUGAUAUGCUACGUGAUCAAAGUGAUUCUUCGUUUUUCUUUAAAAAAUGCAUAUUCUGGCACUGGUUGGGUUAUCAUGCAGGCUGCUAGUUUUUCUUUGCAUCACUACCCCACAGGUUUUCUUCUUCUUACUAGAAACUAAACAAAUGGAAAAUAAUGAUUGGUAACCAUCUGCUGUGCAGAAAUUUUACAUAUAGCAGUUAACUCUAUUUUAGAAAACAAGACCAAAUGAGUGCAUUAUACUGUUGCCAGUAAAUAGCAACAAGCACUAGAGCGUUCCUUUGGACAACGCAGGCACACAGGGAGCCAACAUUUUGUUAUGGGAAGUCAGUUGGUUGGGCUGUGGGGCUGAGUGUGCCCAGACAUUUACUUGUGUGUUUGUGUCUGUGUGCCUAUGUCUGUGUAUGUAUUGCUUAUGUGAAGAAAGUGAUUGCUUCCUCUCUGCCUUCUCCUUGUGUCUCCCUUCUUACCGCCAUAAUUCCAGUCACGUAAAUCAAAGUAAUGUAGAUGUAAAUAAAUCAAUUCAAUCACAUCAUCCUAAAUCUUUUUAUUCACUUAAGAAAUAAACUUAAAAUCCAUAAAGUCAGACAGAAUAAAGAUUUGUAAAAGUAUGUAGGCUUCAGAUCGGAAUCGUGGUUUUCUUCAUUGUACAUAUUACAAUGACUAGUGGCUAGCCAAUGCAUCUUUAGAUUAUUCUCUUGUCGUAUCUUCUGCCUAAAAAACACCUUAACAGGAAAUUAGAUUGAGUAUAUGUACAAAAGAUAUUGACAGGCAAUGAUUAUUCAUAUAGCUGCUGUUGAAGUAUGGAUGUUGUAUUGAGGGUAGACCUAUAAUGAAAUAGACAGAAGUAAGCUGUUACAAAGAAUUUAUUCAAAUGGACCAGGUAAGGCCUGAUUUUAUAGUUAUCCAUAUAAUCUGUAAUAUGUCUCUCUCUCUCUCUCUCUCUCACUCUCUCUGUCUUAUAUAUAUAUAAUCUGUUUAUUAUAUCAAUAUACUUAGGCACUCGAAACAUACAAUCUCUCUCUUGCUUUCUAACUUUCACUUAUUUGAUAUGGGGAUUUUGCCAUACAGCAAGAAAAGUUGUUUAAAAUGGGCAGUAUAUUGAGUUCAAAGGACCCAUACAGUUCAUAAAUUCUCUGGUGUCUACUGGAUUUUUCAUCAGGGAGACUUCCAAUAAAAAUGAUCUAUUUUAGAAAUAAUAUUGUUUAGUAGGUUGAAAUGUGGUGUAAUAAAAUUAGACCUUCAGUCUUCUAAAGUUACUACUUAGAUGGCACCCUUGGGAUGGUAAAAUGGCUGUAUAAGCAGAUGAAUCAGACAGUUCCACUGAUGGGUACAUUUGUCAGUCUCUGUUACAGAUAUAAUAUAUUCUUAUAUCUGUAAUCCUGACACUGUUACAUCCAAAUGAAAUCAACAUGAGGUUGUCAUCUUUAAGCAAAUAUGUUAAGUGUUGUCUUUUGUGCUUUGGAUUUGAAAGAAAGGGGCCCAGGGGAGGCAGCAUCAUGCAAAUGGAACAAAUCCCAUUUCUUCUGAGCUGUGCUGUUUUUCCCCUCCAUGGCAGCUGGCUGUGUUAUCUUUGUGUGUUUCUCUGAGUGCUGACAAUUCUUUCAGUGAUCUAAGUUAGGGCACAUUAGAAAGUGGAAGCAGCUGUCUGUCGCUAUACUGAGAGACGUGUUUGCUCUACUGCAAAGAUGAAGGACCAUGAAUCCUUGACACACUCUCCCCCCUCCCCCCUGUACUUUCCAACAUGAUCAACAUUCAGAUGCACAGAUUGUCUGCUUGGACAGUUUUUUGUUCUGACUGACAGCAUCUGGCAUAGACAAAUUUAAAAAUACAUAGCAUGCCAUGCUUGGAAUUGGAACAUCCCUUUUUUAUUAAUCUUCUCAUUUAAACCAUUCAUUUACAUUUCAAGAAAGGUUACAGCUUGAUAUGGUUGAAACGUUGAUUUUUAAAUGAAUAACCUUCUAAUGAAAUGUCUUGAAUAAGUACCAAGCAGCCAGUGUUCAUUAAAAAUUACACCCGAUUAACACGGCCUUGAAAGCCUGAGAGGAAAGGGAUUUCUUAUUGUUUUAAUCCACAAUGCAAUCCAGUGUUUACCUUUCUGGCACAAAGCGAAUAGAAAUGAUGCCUGUACUUGCAACACUUCUGAUAUUGAACACAACUAUGAUAUCACCCUUAAGCCGACAAAAAACACUUGGUCUUGUUUAAUCAGCUUUUUUUCCCUCUGAAAGCCCUCAGAGGUGUUAAAUUUUUUUAAAAAAAUUACCAAAAUACACCUCUCUCAAAUGUCCCACCCCUCCAUCACCCCAAAAUACUAUGACUCUAUGCCCACAUCAGAAAAAGAAAAAGCUUAUAUGUUUUCAAGUGGAAGAGUAGUAGAAAACGCUUUUAGGUUAAAUGCUUCCCCUGACCCUAGGAUGGUGGAUAUACAUUUAUUUGUUUGCAUUACUUUGGUAAUAAAACAUAACAGUGCAAAAAUUGCUCUCUUUCUCUGCCCCACUCACCCCCACACACAUUCACAUUUCUUAACCAUUCUCAAUUCCGUAGUUAACCUUAGCAACAUGCCUAGCAUUCUUGUAAAAAUAAUAUGAAAAUUGGCCAUAUCAGUCAGUCUUUGGACUUUGAGUCCAGGGGCGGAGGUAGAAAUAAGGGUAGGAGAAUCCUCUUUUUAUCAUGCAUUUUAGACUUUUCAUAUCACUGCAGACUUCAGCUGUUAACUACUCACUCCAAGGGUAGCUACAUUAUUACAUAGUUCUAAGGGGUGUUUGGAGAAGGCAAGUGGUGCAAAAUUGUAAUAAAAAAUAUAUUCAAGUGCUGGGUAGUAAAUAUGUAAAGCAAUGUACUGGAUAACUUGGAAAAACAGGCUUCAGAGGGAAGUUCAAUUAACAGUUGUAAGCAGAAGAGGUGCUGUAUUUCUUCAGCAUGUGUAAGAGGUCACUUGCUUUAGGAUAAAUUUUGACGAAUUCCAGAGAGAAAUAAAUGCUGAAAUAAAAAUGAAAACAGAUUAUAGUUUUAUAUCAAAGGCACUUUUAAUUUUUGAAUAUGAUAGGGGAAAAUGACAAGAUUUUAUUCCAUGGAUUAUAUAUGAUUACUUUUUAUAUAUUUUACUAUGUUUAAAUUAUACACUUAUUUUACUUUAAACUGUUAUUCAAACAAAAGAAAUCUUAGAAAUGAACAUUAUCUUUGAAUCUGGAACCAGUUUAUCCACUCACCCUUCAACCCAGAUGCUGGCUCUAUAAAUUUAAGGUAGACAUAAUUUGGUUGCUGUUUUUCUUUUCUUUUUUUCCUAAAAGCUAAUGGUAGGGAAUCCAACUGGAGUGGAUCUAUUUCCAGUGUUUUGAUUGCUAGUAAAUGUUUUAUAAUCAACAUUUUAAAUAUAAAUUACAUCCUUUGUUAUUUUCCAUUUUGAUUUUUUUUAACGACCAGUUUUUAAAGGUAGUGCCAAUGUGCAUAUGUAAGCAAACUGGGAAUGGGUUAAAGUACACAAUUCCCUUGUGUAAAAAGCCAGGUUUAGCAGUAAUGCUUUUAAUCUGGACUUGUGGAAGAUUCAGAAGCAUCCAUAGAUCUGCUCCAGUAAUUACCAUACCCCAAGUGGCACUGGAAGAGACAUUUGCCUAAAAACUUGAUGUCUUCAUUACGCUGUUUACAUUUUAAUUAGAAACAUGAAAAUUACUGAUUCAUACAGACAACUAUAGUUUAAGUGGUUUCGUUCACCAUCCAAUAAAUCAUAAAAAAGCCCCACAGUUGGCAUAAAUAGUUUACUAGGAAUCAUUCAUGGGAAUAAUGUGUUGGCACUAUAAGCUGCUUAAAAUAUGUUUUUAUUUUACCAGAGGUAGAAUUUGCAUAUAAAUUAGAGAAUGGCAUUUUAAGUUGACAGUCAUUUAUGCAGAAUACCACCCACAUGCAAAUACAUAUAUGGGCGUAUGUGUAUACUUUCUUUGAGUUUAUAGGUUUUUGCAGUGUUGUGGAUAUAGAUUCAUACCCAGCCUUAGCCUAUCAGUUUUUAAAAUGAGUGUCCUCUUUUAAAGUCCUUUCAGAAAUGCUGUGGGUGUUCUAAUGCAUAUCCACAACCAUAUCUUUUAUUUGUUGGGCAGUAUCAACUUGUAUAAAAGGAAAAUGUUUAUUUCUUGUAUGUGUAUGUCUGGAAAAGGAGUUGCUGUUUCAUUUGCUCAUUCAUUCCCUCUUUCCUCUGUCUUCCAUUCAUUCUCCCCUAACUUUUGCAUGUACCUGUCAAUGCUGCUGCCCUGAAACCGCUCCCACUCAGAGCGGCUGGAGUGAAGCAGGGUGGCUGUCAGAGUCCAUUCCUGAGUCAGCAGCAUGUCCAUUGCCUGAAUCUUGCGACAGUCACUCAUCUAGUUUUUCCUUCCCCAGGGGACAGGCGUCCUCCUCAUCAGCAAGGAGGAAUGACCCUUCUGGCUGGCAUGCUCAAAAUCCCGAAUCUCCCCACAUUGGUGUGUGAGUUCAAAUCCCCCCUCCUGGAGGCAGGGCUGGGACUCUAGCUAAUGACUCCAAGAUACAGAGGGUCAGCGCACUGGUGAGCUCGAGUACUGAGGCAUUGUGUGAGCCGAGUUGUACAUUUUUCCCAUAACUGCAGACUCCUCUCCUUCUCCUCUCCCCUCCCCAAAUCCUUUAUGGUAGAUCAACAUGAUGCACAAAUGAACCAGGCAUAGCCACAGACAGUAUAAGCUAUUUUCCUUUUCUUUAUCUUUAUUAGAAAGUUACUGGUCAUGGAUGAAGGAGGGUGUGUUAUUUUUUGUUUGUUUAUUGUUGUUUGGUUGAAAGGAAGCACACAAUGAAUGGACAUUCGCAUUAUGUGAGUGUUAAAUUCACAUUUUAGGCCCAUCGGCUAUAAAUAAAAAUGAAUUUGAAAAAUAUUACAUAGGAGAAAGAGUGUAUGCAUAAAUGUUUAAUUUGGAAUGCUAUAGUGGUCAUUGUUUUAAACUUUUGAAUGUGAAUGUAUUAGGUUGAAACUCAUGCUAACUGCCUGACAUGAUUUCUGGGAAUUAAUGGGUAUAAGAUUAAUUUUCAAGAAGCUGCUUUAGGUGAGAUAAAUUUUGAGCUUCACUUCUACAUCUUUUGGUUUGCUUUUUGUAAGUUCUAGAGGAUUGCCAAAGUUGGAAGAUGCUAAUCAGUUAUUUUUAGUGGCUCACAAUAUUUUAGAUUUUAAUGGAAAGUAGCUAGGAUCAGUUUCUUGGUAAUCCAGGUAAUUGGUCUAGGUAAUCAGACCAGGAGUUUUAAAAACAGUAAUUAGUACUUUGCAUUUACGAGGCAGAAUUCCUGAACAGGUUAGUUAGGGUAAUAGUGGAAUUCAUGGACAUAUGCUCAUUGGUUUGCUUUGCAUUGCCUCUUUUUUGGGGGGAGGUGACGCAGGACACUUACUAGGUUUCUGUGCUUCCUAGAUGUGAUUAGACACAAUAGUCAACAUCUGUAAGGACAGAAACAUGCUGCUUACUUGUACACAUGGCAAAAUUCUAAUAGUUCUGUGCAGUCUGGUAAAUCCUGUCUGCUUUAUGCAGUGUGGCCCAAAACAGUUAUGUGGUGAGGGAAUGCUGGCUGCUGGCCAGCCAUUGACUAUGAAAUCCUGGGUACCUGAGAGCUUAUCAGUUCUUUUGCUUUGUAAAAGAAAAAAGUGAUGAAAAUGUUGGUAAACUGCCAUGAAGGUUUAAGGCUCCUGGAACAAGGAGCCGUGUAAUCAGAUUGGAAAAUGGAGCUUGAGAUUCUCUGCAUGGAGAGCAGCCGUCUGUGGACCCCGUGAGCCGCUGUGCAAGUGCCCGAGCUGACCACUUUGUUAGCAAAUCAGCUUGUUUGCUGCAGCAGCAGGGUGGAAAAGACCAGAGCUUGUGAUGGUAUGUAACGGAGGGAGAGCUCUUGCAUGGCACAAUCUAAUCAGCUUGCAAUUAGCUCAGGCUCUACAGUCACCUUCUUAAUUUUCUUUUUUCCCCCCUCUUUGUGUUAAUACUGUGCACUUUAAACAAUUAAGGAAGGGAAGUAAUCCUUCAAGCAAAUCAAAACCAUCCUUUAAUUUUAUCACCCUGCUGAAAAAGUAUCAGGUGGUCCACUGGUCCUCAUCAGAUGCUGGAAAUUCUCCGGCUCACUGUAGCACAGAGAGGGGCUUUAACCAAUUGAUUUUUGGGAUAAUCUUUCAAAUAUCUUGGCAAGGAGGAGAAGAAAAUGGUACAUCAUUUAAACUAGAAUCAAAGUUAAAACUGAUGUGAAGGGGGAUUACAAAUGCCUUUUGGUUUACAUGCAGUAGUAAAUGUCUUUUGGUUUAUAUACAGUAGUGCCUCUGUUUUAUAUUUUUAAUAACCAGAGGCAGGCUCUGUGUGUGUGUGUGUGUGUGUGGUGUGUGAAAGAGACAUCUGUGUGUGUAUGUCUCAUAUAUAAAAUCCUUUAUACUGCUGUUUAUUUAGGCAUUUCUUUACAGCACCUUUCUGAAGACUCUGAUGACAUAGCCACUUGUACUGAUAAUUCCACUACUUCACCUUUACCGAACUUGAUUCACUAAGGUUUAAAAGAACAAGGCUAUCAUUGCUGAUCAUAUGUGCUACUUGUUAAUCCCUUAAAAUAAAAUUCAGAUCCUGUGGGAGAGAGGUGAGAAGAACAAAACAGAGAUUUGCAAAAUUGGUGUAACAGUUUUAUAUUUUACUGAAUUUAAGGACAAUGACUUCUGUAAUAUCACUUAAAUAAGAUGCCUAUUUACAUAAACAAAAUAAACAAAUCUUCUAAUAAAUAUUACUUAAGCUACUUUUCCUCAUCCUCAGAGUUUUUGCUAAAAUAUUAUUCAUGUGACUGAAUCUCUGACCAGAUACGUUUAUUAGGUGUUUGUCUGUCAUGAGGUGAAAAUGGGCACUAUUUCACCAACGUUUACUUUAGAAAGCACUACAAGAAAUGAUUACUAUAAUAGCUUUUGCUUUUAAUGGUUAUUAAAUAAUCAAUUAGAGUAUUUUAAAUAAUUCUGCUGCAUAAUAGUCCAUUUCUUUUGGAGGUUGUUUGUGUUAAUAAAAAUAAAAAUUGCUAUAAUGUGAUUGAUGUUUGAUUACAUUAACAUUGUAUUUGAAUUCUUUCCAUGUUGGCAACAUGAAAAUUUAUUUGCCUUUAUUAAAUGGAAAAAUAUUACUGUUUUAUUUUGCCUUAAAAAAAACCUCACAACAUAUAACCAAGCAUUUGAACUCAGCGGUUUUUAUUUUAACAAACAAUUCAAAAAGUUUAGGUGUUCGUGUAUUAAUGUUGCCUUUAAAAUAGCACUUGUUAUCUUUCUAUAUGUAUUUGAUUAUAUGUCUUACAUUUUGUACUUGGAAGAAUGAAUUCAGUUUGAUAGAAAAUGAGAGUAAUUGAUAUAAAGUGCAUUUCAAAUUAAGUAAGCUUUUAAGUUUGCCUCAGGGUUUUGCUGGUGUUUCUACAGUGUGUCCUUUUUUUGUUUUUUAACUUUUUUGUUUCUAAUUAAAAAAUAGAUUAAAAGAAACAUACAUCACCUACACACAUCUCAUGCUGCAAAGAUUCACUUUAUAUUCUUUUAGAGGACAAACUCCAUUAGAUAUGCACUUACUGUACAUUGGAUUGUAAAUCUUACAAUUUAAUGGUAAUUCAGUGAGCAGUUAUUGCUUCAGUGGCCUUUUUUCUUUCUUUUUUGUCCCAUCUCACUUGUGAAAUAGGGUUACCCUUUACAAGUGUCACAUCCAUAGAUUCAUCUUUUGUACUUUGUAGUUGUUCCUGGUGCAUCAUUCUUAUGUUUAAAAAAAGGCAAAGCAAUGGAGGAACCAUGUGGAGGGUGGUAGGUGGGGAGUGUGUGUACGUGUGUGUUCAGAGGGUGGGGGCUGUGGAAUGACAGCUUUCAUGCUUAUUCCAGAGAGCGAGGGAGGGGCAGGGGGAGAUAUCCAGAAAGAUACAAGACUCUAGCAACAGAAUAACCAGGAGCGUUAGCAUCAGUCUAACAGAUUAAUAUCUUUUUCUAAAUAUGCAUUUCCUCUAACCUCAUUCUUAAUCUAACGUUCAGUUUUCCGUAACAGAUUGCAUUCUGCACUUGAAUUCCUGGAAGUAGAAAUAGUAUCUGAUUGGUACAAGUCUCUUUGCCUUGCUUACACUGUUAAUAUUCUUAUCCUUUUUGGACACUGAAAUAGUUUUUUUUUUUUUUUUGUAGAAACAAUAUACACAUUCAUAAAGAAAUUAUAAAGUGAUUCUCCUUUUGAAGAUAAUGAGUUCUCUUCAGGAACUGCAGGUUACAUGGCGCACAAAUGAGCUCUAAGUGGGGGGAUUUAAAGUCCUGCUACAGCAUUUAAUUUCUUGAGGAAAGGAGUUCAGUUCAAGGUUAGCCUGUUAUUGUGGCACUGGCAACUACUUCUCGCGUCCCUGUUCUUCUGCCAGCAGUACUGCACAAAAGGCAGUCAUUUUUAUUUAAUACGUAGGGAGGUAUUAAUCACUGCAGUAUUUUCUUGCAAAAAUUUAUCUUAUCAUAUUCAUUGUUUCACUACCCAUGACAAUAAUAGGUGUUUAAUUACUCAAUAAGAGCCAUUUAUAGAUUCCAUUUUUCCUGUAUGCUGGACAAAUGGUAUUGAUUUUGUACUUUGAUGCAACAUGAAACUGUAUUAAACACAAUUAGAAUUCCAAGGCUGGUAAAAUGUACAUUUGUUAUGGUAACUGGACUUGCUUUGAGAAGCUGCAAGCGUCUUCUAAUACAGGGAAUGCCUUUGGAGUAAAAAGGAGAUUUGAUUUUAUUGCAGCUCUGUGGUUAAAAAUGAAUGCUUUUUUUCUUAUGUUGUGUGUCUAUGUGUGUGUGAGUGCAUGUGUGCAUGUAGAUUUUAGUUUUAGUGAAGUAAUAAAAAGUUUAUAUUAAUUGAAAAGAUUUUAAAUGAAUGGUUCUUUGCAGUCAGACAAGCCAUUGUGUACAGGUGAACACUGACUCUGUGUAAUCUUGUAAUUGUGUCUCUUUAGCUAAUGCCAUAGGUCUUUAUUUUACCAACAAGUAAGUUAUUACCUGGAGUGAGGGUAGGAACUCUACUAGAUAAAGUAGUACCUUCAUCUCAUGCUGGUUUCUAGUUUAACUCCUUCUAAGGUGAUGAGGAAGGCCUCCAAAUCCCUAUUGUGUCAUAAGUUAAAGAGUGGGUUUUGUUAAAAUUGGCACUAAAUAAAAACCUUUCAUUUAGCUAGCACUAUUAUGUCAUAGUCAGGCAGCACAAAGUCUUGCACAGAACUGAACUCAAUUCUGUCUUCCAGCAGUGCAAGUCUGCCUGCAUUUUGCUUUACUUUGCUUUUUGCAAACACAUUUCCACCUGCCAUUUGGCCCAUCCAAAACUAUAAUUUGAGAAGACUCUCUUGUUGGCCAAUGCAUUAAUUGCCUGUGAUUUUCAGCUUCUUAAAGAUUUAUUUGCUGUGGAGGAAGGGCAUUUAGCCUAACCAAAAUAAAAAGCAAAAUGAACCAAGGAUAGACUAGCAGUUGCCUAAUCUUCAUAAUUUCCACGAAAGUGUAGCUUGUAUCCUUGCUAAAUCUUACUUUGUAUUUUUUUCUAAGGAUCAUAGACCUCCAGGCUGAAAUUUCUCAGUUUUAGAGAGUGAAUGGAUGACUACCCUUAUCCCUAAAUAAAGGAAGUAGCUCAUUGACACAAUUCCUUUCUGCAUCGAGGGUAUUUUAUUUGCUGGAACACUAAUGACCAGUACUAGAACACUAAUUGAUAGCACUACUUUGACACAGAAUUUUUAACAUUUGUGUAGAAGGCACAAAACUUCAGGAGAGAUUUUAUAAAUAUUUGCCAUUUGCUUCACAGUACAGAAACAACCUCAGUCAAUUGUUUAUUAGUUUUAAUUGAACAUUUCUUAUUCAAUUAAUAUUUGUAUUAUUAUUUUCCUUAUGGGUUGUCAUAUGAUAGGAUAUGUUAACAUUUGUAAGGCAAUGAGAAAAUAAAUAACAGUUUACAUCUGGCUAGUGUAUUCCUUUUUAUCCUAGAGCUUUCAAGAGUGAGAGUAAAAAUAAAUUGAUUGACCUGCCCAUUUUAAAACACCAUUCUAUUUUUUUCUCAUAAAUAUGAAAAGAAAACCCAACUUUCAUUCCCGAAGUAUGUGUUUUAUGUUUAUUUUACCUUGUUAUAGGGGCUGGGCAGAUACUGGGAAGAAGGGGCUUCUCGGGUAAUGGAAUCUGAGGUCUGCAAAGUCCUGUUCAGAUAGAUCCUUGAACACAUAGUAAAUCGCUUCUUGAGUGGGAUGGGGAAUGCUGUAGUUUAUAAGGUAGGAUUACCUUUCAAAGGAGAAGAAAAAAAGUCUAGAUAUUUCCAAACCUUUGGUCUUUCUCCAGCAUACUGAAACUAAGGUCUGCUUGAUUAUCUGGCCUGGGCUGUAGGUCGCUGAUGAUUUCAUUUGUGAUCUCUCCAGAUGAACUCUUUUGUACUUUAUAUUUCAGCUUAGACAAAUCAUUUAUUUACUUAAUAAUGUGCAUGUAGUUUCAAUUAAGUGAAAGAUGAUCCCAUGUAAUUAGCUAGUUGUAAAGUGGAUUACAUAAAAAACUGGCAUGGAGGCUGUUCUAUAGCUAAAUAUUACUUUUUAGAAAGGCUUCCACCUCAAAAAGAGUGUCUGGAUUGCCCAAGGAGUGUCUGGGUUUGAAUUUGGGCUGCACAACUCCUUACUGCAAGGUGAUGUAUUCCUUCUCUGUGUUUGCCAAGGUCAAAGUUAUGUGAUGCACGUGGAAACUUGGCUUUCUAAGGAAGCCAUCUGAGUCCUCAUUAUGGCAUCAGAAUGUAUGAAGACUUACACUCUGGUAUGCAUAAGGACACCCAUUGCCGUAUUUACGGUACCUUAGACUCUUCAGGAAGAAUCUAUUUUGAGAACUUUACUUUUGUCAUCUUAUCUCACAGAAACUUUCUAUAUCGUUGUGAACAAUGAACAAUAGUCUAUAUGCAACCAUUACUUCUUAAGCAUUAAUAUCAUAUGUAACUUCUGAAUUCCUUUAACUUCCUUACUUGGGGUAGUAUAGUAUUUUGUUUGUGGAAGCAAUUCUAGACUCCUGUGUCUACCUUGUUUUUCUUUUUCUCCCCUUACAGAUUUUGCCUUUCCUCCCUCCAAACCUCAGCACCGUCCACUCCUGCCCCCAUCUAGCAGGAUUCUCCUAACCUCACUUUUAGCUGUUUGAAUAAAAAUCGAUAAGACUAUUAUAAGCAUUUGAAACUUUUUAAAAGACAGAAACAAUAUUUUAAUUACUACUGACAUGCCAGUUGGAAGCCCAUAUCCUCUUUUAUGACAGUUCAGUUUAGAAACUACAUUGCUUCAUUUCAGUAACUUUAUUACCAUUUGGCUUAGAGAUUGCUAUUUCGCCUUGGCCACAGAUUUCAUCAGUUGCCCGGUUCACCUUUGUCCACAUUAUACUUGUGAAAUGACCUCCUCCGUUAGUGCUUGUCAAUAGUAAAUUGCUAUAUUCUGCGCCUAGAAACACACCAAAGGACUACAACAUUUUAUUGAAUGACUGAGUUUGUACUUAAUUUUUAAAAAUUAAAAUUUAAUUGGAACAGUCUUAAUUACAUUUAAUACUAGUUAAUUAAGGCACUGGUUAGGGUCAGCUAUCACAGACAUCAUUCUUAUUGAUAGUAGGAACAAUAAACACAGCGUAGUGUGCAGGUGUCUAUAUAACAAGUAUGUUUUCUUUGGUGUUUUCCCCCUUUAAUUUUCUAACUAUUCUAUCAAAAUAACAAUAUGUGAGGUGGCCAAGAUUCAGUUAUCCUGAUGACAUCAAAUUAAUUUUUUUUGAGAAUUCCCAAUGAUGAAAUUAUCUCUUCACAGAAACUUCUUUUAAAAUGUUGAGAAAUUUGUGCUAUUGUAACAUAAAGACAAAUAGGAUUUGAUAUCACAAUGUGGCUUAAAAAUAGUUAUGUAAACAAUCUUAAAUAUAAAUUUUUAUUUGAAACAAAUGACUGAAAUAGUAUAUUUGGAAGUAUUUAGAAAUUUCUGGUUAUAUCAAGACCAGUAGUAUCUCUGUUAAAUAUGUAUUUUUCCUAACUACAGAUAUUUUUAUUUAUUAUAAGAUUUACAGGAAAAGAAAAAAUGCCCACUCUUCACCUCUUUUCACAGAUAGUUUCACUUUUUUAUCUCCUUAACAAAGCCAUUUCCAUAAAUAGAUCACUGCCAAGUUGUUUGAAAAUUAGGGUAAAAUAAAAGGCCUGCAUUCUUGGAAAUCUCAUUUUAAUGAGAUUUACAAUAAUGAUUAAAUACUGUUGAUAUUUUUCAAAUGUUGCUUGAUAUGGACUUAGUUUUGGUUGUAUAAUUUCACAAAGAUUAUUUUACUUUACUAAAAACACUUAAAUUCCAAAUUCCAUCUCUUCUGCAUUUUUAAUCUUCUUUGUUUCUGUUUUGUCACUACACUCUUUGAAAUAACCUGAUAUCAGGCAGAGUUUACCCACUAGAGAAUAAAAUGAGGAUCAUACUAUUGAGGAGUGUUUUUUCUUUUUUUGUUUUUUUUUUUGAGACAGAGUCUCAUUCUGUCGCUAGGGUGGAGUGCAGUGGCGCGAUCUUGACCCACUGCAAGGUGCAACCUCCACCUCCUGGAUUCAAACGAUUCUCAUGCCUCAGCCUCCCGAGUAGCUGGGAUUACAGGCACAUGCCACCAUACCCAGCUAAUUUUUUUGUAUUUUUGGUAGAGACGGGGUUUCACCAUGUUGGCCAGAGGAGUGUUGUUUUGACAGAUAAACAUGGUAAGCUUGGUUGUUUUCUUCCUGAAUGUUUUGAAAUAAAAGAGGAUUGAAAUUUUAUUCCUCAAUAGAAAUUAAGAAUAAUUAUAUAACUCUUGUACAAUUUUAUUGAUGUUAGGCAAUGAAGACAGAAAAGAAAUGUUAAGUUUUUCUCCUUCCAGAUGUAACUGAUGCUGCAAUGGCCGUGACAUUCAGGAAUAUGAAAGUUUUCAUCGUUUGUUUAUACCUUUGGUCAUACUGGCAUAAUUUUUUUUGUUUGUUUUAAAUGAGAUUAUUGCUCUAGAAAAGAAAAACUUAAUAAAACCUUGUGUUUGAAAAUAAAAUUUUGUCAGAAUUUCAGCCAACAAGAUUUCCUGUGUGAUGCACAACUAAUAUUUCAGUGUUGCUGUUCCUCAAAGAUUGGGUUUUAGGGUGCAUGCAGCUCAGGACAGAAUUAUAUCAAACCAAAAGCAUAUGCAGUCUACAUGUGAUUUGUUUGGAUGAUAUGCAAAGAUAUGAAUUGUGUAUUUUAAUCAGUAUACUUUAGUUUCAUUUUACAAAAAGAAAAAUUAGCUCAGUCUAAAUCUGAAAUAAAUACAGACAUUUACAGGCACCUGUUUGAAUCAUCAUGAUUAGGUUUAUUUUAUGAUAUAUUAAUAUUAUUAAAAUUCCCAGUAAGAAGAAGUCACAUUUAAUAUACAAUAUUUGAGUGGAUUGUGUGUGCUUAUUAAUAGUGUCACAGUUUAAGUAAAACUAUUAAGCCGCCAUCUUUACAUACUUGGUUUUACCUUUUUGGAUGUCUUGGGCAAAGGUUCAAGGUAUUUCUUUUCAGGUAAAUAAUUUGUAACUGCUGUUAAUUAAAAUAUAGUUCUCUAAAAUAGAACCCAUUUAGAAAUAAUAAUAGUUGGAAAUAAACAACAUGGAAAACUAGAUGAUUUGUGGUUCAAAUUUACUGAUAGAUAAGUUAAACAUUAGAGCCAUAAAGUGUAAAUUUGCGUAGCAUUUAACAAGCUUUAGAAGAGCAUUAAAAGUAACCUAUAUGUAAUAUGCAAUACGAAUAGAGCUUCACAGAGCCCCAGAGGAAGCUGAAAAUGUAGUUCAGGAUGCUUCAGGCUGUCUGAGAUGUUGAGAUUAUGUUCCACAAAGACCAAAAUAAGGUUUCAGCAAGGUUUUCUUGCAACAUGUAAGUUUUCCAGAUGAAGAGAAAUGGACAUAUAUUAAAUUUCCAGCAGCUUAAAAAUGCAGUCAUUUGUAAGUGAUUAAAAUGGACGUUGUUUUUAGUUUUUCUGUAGUAGUUGGCAUUCCUUAACUGGUUUUUAUAUUAAACCAGUUAUGUUAAAAAACAAACAUGUAUACAGUGUGCCUAUCUUGUCACUAUGUUAAUAGAAAAUCAUUCAAAAAUUAAAGGAAAGAAAAGUAAAACCAUUAUAAUAAAAGAUUGUGAGAGCUGCUUGAGAGUUGUGGGGAGUAAUCUUGCAUCACAUCUAUUAGGAUUGUCAAAAAAAAAAAGACAAAAAAUAAACAAUAUAAAAUAGAGUUUACAUAGUACUCUUUUCUUUAGAUGUUUUUUGGAAGUCUCACAUGUUGUCAACUUAUGUAUUUUUUAUAUAAAGUGACCUGUAACUAAAAUUUUAAGAAUUUAGUUCUGCCAUUGUCUUGAAAUUAAGCAGGUAAAAACACAACCUCUCUGGGUCUCAGUGUUUUUCAUCUUAAAAUGGAUGACUUCCAUCCAAAGAUUUCUAAAUUCUCUUUCAGCUCCAAAACACUAUGAGAAACUAUGGAACUAUGAAGUUCCAUCUGAAAAUUUUUAAGAACAUGGAAACUGAUUGUGCUACUCAGCUUUUCUGAGUAGCCUUUGGUUUGGAGCUACAACCAUAACUUUCUUUGAGAAAUGGAAACAUCAGGAAUGGUACCACUACAUGCAAGGUGCUAGGAGUAGAAAGCAAUAGACAGAUUCACAAUGUUAUAAAUGGUGGUGAUAUGAAAUGUGACCCUGAUAAUGGUUAUGUGGUGCUUUGGAAAUUUACCUCUCUUACAGACUUUGUCCUUUUGUAUGUGAAGGUGACACUGAACAGUGUGUCUGAACAGAAUGAUGUGUAAUCUGUAGUUCUUUAUAUCUUAUCAGCUGCAGAUCCUGGUUUUGUGGAGCCUGAAGCUUGCACAACAUGGGGGCCGUGUUUUAAUGAGAACAAUAGUACAAAAUUAAAAAUGCAAAACUAGGUACAGGCAUUGGAAGGGGCCAGUAUUUAGUGAGGAUCAGCUUCAUUACGCUUCAUGGUAGAUCUGUCUCUGCUGAUUACAUAUGUGAAAACUGAGAAUGGGUAUUUGAAAGCUUCAUUUGGACCAGGCUUAUUCAAUUUGUGUUGGUAGAUAUUCAUGGCUGGGAGGACAGCACUGGUUCUAUUUUUAGAAAUUUUAACAAGUGCUACUUUCCCAGCACUGAUGGUACAAAUCACAGAGCUGGGGGCGAGGUUGCAAAAUCUGGAUGACUCAGUUUCCAAAAUUACAGUUUUUCUACUUAUAUUGAUAGUACUUACACCAGAAGGUGCUAGCUCUUUGAUCAAAUACUGAAUUGUGAGGAAAUCAGAUUCAAGUGUCAUGUUAAAGUUAAAGUCAUGAAGGGAAGAGAAACCAGAGCUGACUCGACUGGUAAGAAAUCUUAAUAAAAAUGGGGACAUUUGUAACAAUAAUUAAGGCAGGGAAAUGCUGAUUAGCGUUCAGCUACUCUAGUGAGAAGCAAAAAGCACCAAUAAAGCAGAUAUUCUUCGUCUGGAUGCCUUGCUUCCUCAGUGAGUCAGUCCCAAAGGGGCCUCCCCUCAUGCCACUGUAUACUCUGCUGGGAGCUUUGUCGGCUAAAGCUUCUAAUAUCUACAGUGGCUUCUCUUGCAGCACUUUGGUUUCCAGGGAACCAUCCGCAGGUUCUACUGAUUUGUCAGUAUCUUUACACUCAGCCUCUGGUUGCACCAGGCAUUCAUCUUUGGUAGUUGCAGUGUGUGUUUGGGCCCUCCUGUGUCCAGAUUAUGCUUUGAAUCAGCACAUAUUUAUUGACUAACUGUAGGGUACACAACUAUGGUAAAGAUGAUAAUACGUAAUCUUACCUUUGGGUAGCUGCUUGCAAUUUAUGAAAUACCUUUAUAUCCAUUACUUUCCUUGCUUCUCACAAUUCCAAGAGGUAAGCAGACUCAGUGCUGUAAUUCACAUAUUACAGAAGACAAAACUGAGAUUAAGGAAAUUGCCCAGGUCAAACAAUUAAGAAGUUGCAGAGGACUUGAGCCCUGAGCUACUGACUCAAUAGAUAUUUUUUUUAACCAUUACAUGGACCUUGCAAUUUAUUAGGGAGAUAAGAAAUGCAAAUUUUUUUCCCUUAAAUGCAUGUGUAUCUUUAUAUAGAGAUAUAUUUCCUUAGUAAUUGUACUAUAAGAAAGCAUCAAGAAAGUGUCUAAAUAAAGCACCCAGUGAAGAGUUGUACAUCUAGUGUGUUCCAGAAAUAUGAAUUGAUUAGACUUGAUAUAUGUCUAUUAAGCACUUGGAGAGUACAGGGCACUGUUUUAGAGCCCUUGUUAAUUGAUUAUCAUGGCUGUGUGUUGUUUUGGGCCCUGGGCCCUGUUUCAGUGAGAAGAUAGAGCUAUCAGAGGAAAAGCCAUCAGUAGUUUUAGACACUAGACUUCUCUCUGCUUUCACAAAAUGCCAUCCCAGAUUCAGAGGCAUUUCUUAUCCUCAAAUGGAACAUCUUCACAUACCACAGUGUUCCAUUUCCCUCUUCCAAUGGCCUCCAUUGCUUGUAACCUUGACUGAACUCUCCCCUUUUUGCAUUCUCUAUAAAUCUGCUAGUCACCACUCCCACAACAUAGCCUAUUAUGACAUUGCUGCAACCUAGCCUCUGAAUUCUGGAUUUCAUCUUCUCUCAUCCAGGCUGAUGUGUUCUGAAACUAGAGCUUCCAGACCCUUCUGAGUUCUCACUGUCGCCAUUCUGCGACAAAUCCUGCUUCUUGUUAUCCUAUGAAACUAUAUUUCAGAGCCCUGCCCCAGUGUCCCCUUCCUUCUUUCUCUUCUUCAAGUGAAACUGCUCAAAGACCUCAUUAUUCACAUGCUUCCACAUCUGUACCCUUAACAGCCUUCCAAAUGAUUUGAACAGCCUCACUUUUUUGUCAGUUACAUAAGGAAGUGCCUUCCUUAUGUCACUGUGGUGAAAUUAUUUUCUCAAUUUAUUCUGUUUCAAAAAGAACAAAAAAUGUUCCUCCAGCGUUAUAACUAAUCACAAUGUCAAUAGUUUACUAGGUGCAUAACUGGUGCAAAAUGCGAACACAAGGCAUGAUGGCUUUUCUGUAUUUUAGAAUCUGUUUCAGGAGGGGUUCUUCUUCUUCUCCUUCCUUCUCCUCCUCCUUCUUUCCUUUCCAAUUUUCUGUAUCUCUUCUUCCAAUCAUAAUUUCAUACAGUCAGUCAUAGGGUAACACAAAAAUAACAUGUUCCUAAGUGCAGGUAAACUCACCUCACAAGCUUAGAAAUGCAGUAUAAAUAAACCAAACUUUAAGUAGAUAUCAGAGCAUGGUUAUAUUACAAAUGGUUCAUUCAAUUUAUAAACUAUUUUUUCAUUCAGCCUCCUGAAUAUCAGGUCCCUCUAGUAUACUAAAAUUAUCUGAUUUACCAAAAAAAUUUCUGUACAGCUGUUUGGCAAUAGCUCUUCUAUUCAAAAAUUCACUACAGAUUCUAUUAAGAUUCCUUUCUUAAGCUAGUAUAAAACUUUAAUUGAACCUUAAGUUUCUCCCUGAAUAGGAAUUUUUUAAACCUUUGUUCUCAGGGAAACUGUACCAUUAGAAAGUAACAGUGAAUUUUUGCGUCAUUAUUUUUUAUCAUUUUUUUGGAAAGAUGUUCUAAAUGUAAAACAAGGUAAGAAAGUACAUUCAUGUGAACAUGUAGAACUUGGAAUGCUCUACAUUUGAAAAUACACUAACCUAAAAUUGUAAUAUUUUAUAUGGCUUGACAAUUUUUAAUGUUGACCUAACAUACUUCCAGAGGGUAAUUAGGUAGCUGUGUGGUUUUGAACAUGUAAAUCGUUGACAUGUCACUUUUUAAGAAAAAUCAGUAUAAAAUGGCAGUUUUGCUUUUUGUGCUUUUUGAAAGCUACCAUGGUUUUAAAAAAAUUAUCUUAAUUUUAUAGAACUAAAAACAUCUGAUAAAACCAUUUCUUCAUACCUGCCUUUCUCUGUUCUAACAACUAAAAACUUCUUUCUUGAUUUAGGCUUUGUGAAAUUUAAGCUCACAAAGCUCUUAGAUUUAGAAAGUUCCUGUUGCAUAGCUAUUGUUGGGUUCUGUGUAGAGUGUGCUUUCCCUCAUUUAUUCCUGUAGGGUUCCUUGUGGUAAGUUUAGGUACAUUCCUUUCUAGAGGCAAGGGGAGGGUUUUCCUCUCCCCAGGGUGCCAGUGAAACUCUCCAUUACUUUGUCAACAUGAGACUGCCUUGCCUAGAGAGACAAAAACCAACCAAAUUUCUUUUCCAUGUAUUUUGUUUCUUCUCUGUUAAAACAAGAAAACUUUAUUUUCAAGCCUCCCUUUUAAGAAACGUCUUUCUUACUGACGGGAACUUAAAACAUCUGAAAUGAUUUUCAUGACAUAUUACUGGCAGGCUCUGGUGUGAGAAUUCUGCAUGUUUCAAAAGUUCCUUGGCAAGCGAUUGAAAGGUAGAAUGCAGGAUCCCACAGAAGGAAUAGUUUGCGUUGUGCUUAAUUUUCCUGACCAGUCUACAAAAGUUCUGUUUCCUUAUUUAUCUGAAUUGUGGCAUUAAGUGACUUUACCAUCUUUCAUUAAUUAGAUGUAUUCAGAGAUUCAAAUUAACAAUUAGCAAGCAGGGAAGGUGGUGUUCUACUCUGUAGCUCUGGUGACAGGGCGGGAGACUUCCACUCCCUUCAUCCUUGUUUUGUAGGGUGGGGGGAAUCUUGGAAAUAAGACCUGCAUUGUCUCAGCUUCAGGGCCUCCCUGUCUUGGGGCUGGCAUUCUAAAAGUGUAGCAUUGGGAGACUAGGAGUGGCGCCAGGGAGGGGGAAGGAGGAGGAGGGAGCAAAGGGGCAGGUAAUGACCACAGGCCAUCUAGGUCUUCUAUCUUUCUUCUUUCCCUAGUUUGCUAUCCUCUCGCAAUUCCAUUUUCUUUCAAUAAUUUAUUGAAAGUGUUCAGGAUGGGCUGUUAGAGAACCUCCCAGGGAAGAUGAGGAGAGGCAGAGAAUAACAUUAAUUCUAACCAAAACCCGUAUAUGUUGGAGGAAUGAACAGAUCCCUUUUAUAGAACUUGAAAAUGAGCCUCCAGGAGGUUAAAUAAGCUGCUUACAGUUUCACAGCUAGAAACAGGAGAGGCAGAAUUCAAAAGCACAUCUUUCUCAUUCCAAAGCUCAUGCUCUCUGAGGCAUACUCCAUGGCGGUGGUGCACUGUGAGCAGGAAGGGAGUGCCCUUUUCCAUCUAUCUCCCUUUUUCUUUAUCUCUUCUCAAGAGGAUGAUAGGGAAAUAGAAGUGACAAUGAAGAUAGAGAGAUUGGAGGGAGGGAUAAGGAAAAAUACCUGUAAUAACAACAAUAAGCACAUAUGAUUGCUCAGUGCAAUUUUAUGUGCUUUACCUAUGGUAUAUAGUAUAUGUUGUUAUAGUAUACAACCUCAAGGUAUAACUCUUAUUAUCUCUAUUUUAUACACGAGAAAACCAGGCUCAGAGAAAAUUACUUGCAUAUGGUCCCAUGACCAACUGGUGUGUUGUGGAACUACCCUCUAGACCCAAAGCUGCGGGAUUUCAAAGGCUCUUGACCUCCUAGUGCCUCUCCCUUUCCUUCUGUCUCUGCCAACCUGGACUUGAAGAAAGUUGGGCUGCAGAAAGCAGGGAUGAGGUAUAGUGUUGAAGAGGAGUGUUUGGGUGUUUAUGUUUUAGGAAGGAGGCAGCACACCUUCCUUCACCCUCAUUUAAUACAUUUCACAUCCUGACUUGCCUCUGAGAGGACCACUGUGGUGUGACUCCGGGUUGGGGGAGAUGGACACAUAAGUAAUCAUGACACAGAGGCUGGGUGUGGUGGCUCAUGCCUGCAAUUCCAGCACUUCAGGAGGCCAAGGCGGAGGAAUCACUUGAGGCCAAGAGUUCAAGACCAGCCUGGCCAACUUGGCGAAACCCUGUCUCUACUAAAAACACAAAAAUUAGCUGGGUGUGGUGGUUCAUGCUUGUAAUCCCAGCUACUCGGGAGGCUGGGGCAGGUGAAUCGCUUGAACCCGGGAGGCAGAAGUUGCAGUGAGUCAAAAUCCUGCCACUGUACUCCAGCCUGUACAAUAGUGAGAACCCGUCUCAAAAAAAAAAAAAAAAGAAAGAAAAGAAAAGAAAAAAAAUUAUGACACAAUGUGCUUAGUGCUGUGUCAGGGAAAGCAUAGCCCUUUAAUAAGCGCUUAAAUUCUGUUAAUCCUCUGUAUCUAUAUCCUAGUCUCCAAAAUGGGGAUCAUGGCUGGGCGCUGUGGCUCAUACCUGGAAUAUUAGCACUUUAGGGAACCAAGGUGUGGGGAUUGCUUGAGCCCAGGAGUUCGAGACCAGCCUGGGCAACAUAGUGAGACCUUGUCUCUUAAAAAAAAAAAAAAAAAAUUAGCCAGACACGGUGGUGUGCAAAUGUAGUCCUAGCUACUUGGGAGGCUGAGAUGGGAAGAUUGAUGUAGCCAGGGAGAUUGAGGCUGCAGUGAGCUGAGACUGGACCACAGGACUCCAGCCUGGGCAACAGAGCUAGACUUUUUCUUAAAAAAACAAAACAAAACAAAACAAGACAACACAAAAACAAUAAAACAAAAUGAGGAUCAUAACACUAUCUCACAGGAUUAUAAGAAGGAAUAAGUGACACAGUGUAUGUGAACUUUCCUGGCACUCUCUCAAAAUUAAUGUUGAAUCUCCACAAAGUGCUCUGAGAAUAUGAAAGAGGAGGCAAAUAACUCCUGGAUACUUGCAGCGAUAUUUCAUCCAAGAAAGUGACAUUAAAGUUGGGCCUUAAGUGAUAAGUAAACGAUUGUGAGGUGGGAAAACAGGUAGAAUAGGUUGCUAAUUUCUAAGUCAUUUACUUUUUUCUAGUCUGUUUCAUGGGGUACCAGGAAACACUCUGAGGUUCAGAAGCACCUCACCAGAUUUACUCCUAGUUUUGUUGAAAUAUAUGAUUGUGUUAUACCACCUAACAUCUGCUCUUAUUAAGAAUUUUUUCCUACCUAGGAAACUAUUGUUACCAUUAACAGUCUUCUUCUUUUUAGAUCACUGUUUCUUUUCAUGUCUUUAUUCAGCUUCUUCAUCCAAAAACACUGUUUUUUUUGUUUUGUUUUGUUUUUUUGAGAUGGAGUCUUGCUCUCUUGCCCAUCCUGGAGUGCAGUGGCAUGAUCUUGGCUCACCGCAACCUCCACUUCCCAGGUUCAAGAGAUUCUCUUGCCUCAACCUCACAAGUAGCUGGGAUUAUGGGCACAUGCCACCAUGCCCGGCUAAUUUUUGUAUAUUUAGUAGAGACCCUGGGGUUUCACCAUAUUGGCCAGGCUGGUCUCGAACUCCUGACCUCAAGUGAUCCACCCACCUUGGCCUCCCAAAGUGCUGGAAUUACAGGCGUGAGCCAAUGUGCCUGGCCGUGCUAUUUUUUAAGAAUCCAAGAUGUGCUAAGCAUUUUGCUGGGUGGGAAAAUGUCUUUGUCUUUGAGGAACUUACAGUCUGUUGGGUAGACAACAGACUUGUGAACAAGUAAAGCACAGUGUGAACUACUAAGUGCUAUAAUUACUGGGAAUAUACAUCUUAGUUUGCCCAGGAUGGUCACAGUUCAUACCUGUUGUUCUAACGUAAUUACUAAUAGUCUUUCAUUUUCAGAUGUGUGCUGAUUUGGACAACAAAUUUUAUGGUUACAUGAGUUAAAAUAUGUGUGUGUGUGUGUGUAAGAUAUUUUGCAUGUUGACUGAAGAAAUGACAAGCUCUAAGGAAUCAAGGAUGAUUUUCUUAGGAAAGGUGAUAUUUGAGCAGAGGCAUGAUGCCGAGGGCAUCACUAAUAAGAGAAGGUGGGGAGAGGAAGGGAGGAAGUGCAUUUUACAUGAGCUAGAGAUGCAGAUGGGCAUUAGGUAGUCAAGAGGCAAUAACAAAUCACAAGUUCCAUGUGCCUGGAACAUUGCUGGGUGGGGGAUUAAGUAGUGGGAAAAUUUUGUAGGCAAGUAGGGAAGAAUGAAAUCAGAAUUUAAUGAUUGAGGAGCAAAUGAAAGUUGAGGAAGUUGAGAUGUCAAAUAUAGACACCUUCUAAGGAAUUUAAGGAAAAGAGUGACUGUGGUGAUAGUUUGAGAUGAAGAAAGAUAAAGUUUGGACAUUCUGAAAAUUGACAGUUAAUGUCAGAAGAGACAGAGACACCGAGCUCAAAACAGCAAGGGAUAUGUGAGACAAUGAGAUCUCAAAGGAGGGGGGCGGAAAGUGCAGUCUGGGGCCUGGGAGAAAGGGCUAGCCUAUGAAAUAGAGAGGUCAGAACAGCUGGGUGUGGUGAUGAACACCUGUCGUCCUAGCUACUCAGGUGGCCGAGGCAGGAGGAUUGCUUGGGCCCAAAAGUUGAAGUCCAACUUAAGCAACAUAGCGAGAUCCCCAUCUCUAACACAAUUUUUAGAAAGGAAAAGAAGGACUGUAAGAUGAUGGAGGUAGAGAAUUUACAGGGUAGGAUUGGGGGAGUAUCUAACCUGACAUUUUCUUUGUUUGGUGAAGUAGUAAAAUGAUUGAGCACAGCCAUUAAAGGACAUGGCCAAUAUUUUUGCUCUUAAUGUAGAUAAUGGCUAUAUGAUCUUGUCCCAGUGACUUUACUUUCCUGGACCUCAGUUUCUUCAUAUGUAAAGUAAGAGACUGGAUUGACACUUUCUAUGUUUUCAUCCAGUUCUAAGAUCUGGUUCUGUGUUUUACUAAAAAUGUCAUGAGAAGGCAGUUCCCUGCAUCCCUCACACCCUCCUUCUUGCUUGCCCCAUCCUGUAAAAGAGAGGAUUCCAUUGUCAAGUAAGUUAGGGUUAUGGUUAAUUGGGUUUCUUUACAAUAGGACCUCUUAGAGCCCCUAGAAUGCUAAUAGGUAUUAUGAAUAUUGAAGAGGAGGUUAUAGUACACAUUUCCCAAACUGAUUUAACUGUAUAAUCCAGUGUUCCAUAGAGCAUACCAUGAGAAACAUUGAUUUAAGCAUUUAUUCUCCCUUGUCAUUUGUAAAAAAUUCUAUCCCAAGUUGGUGGGGGCAAAACAAACAUUUUGAAUGGCUGUUGUCUCUGGUGAGCAUGCAUCUUUGCUUGGAAUAUGACGUAGUUCCUUCCACUAUCAGAAUAAAAAGCUCCACCAAACCUAGACCUACAGAAUAUUGAUAGAAAUAAAACAUGCAGCCCCGUCUAGGCAUGAGAUGGUGGCAGAGAGCUGCUGGAUGCUCCAGCUCUUCCCUUGAACAAGCUGAAAAGAGAGAAAGACUUGUUUACAGCUCUCAAAAGAAAGGCUGAGAAGUACAGGUCCUGUGUUACCUGUAUUAUUUCUAAAGUUCCGGAACAGCUAAGGAAAGGAAAUACAGAGUAAUGUGGCUCAGUUUGUUUGAUGUGGUAUUUAAUCCUUCUGGUUUAUAAUACCAUCUAACACAUAUGUUUCGUAUCACCUCAGAUAUAUUCCAAUAUGAUAUUUAAUAUAUUUAGAAAAGAAGAAAAAUCCCACUGGCAAGAAUGAGUUUCUCCCAGUUAUGAAGUAAUAUGUUUUGUUUUUACUAGUAUUCCCUAGCACAUAUGUGUUCUUUUUCAGUUCUCUUUUCUAACCCAAAUGAUUAUUGUGUGUGUUUGUGCGUAAGUGUGUGUGUGUAUGUUAUCUGUAGGUUUCUUUAUUGAUGUAACUACUCUAAUUUUGGUUCCUUUAAAUUGUGAUCAUCAUGAGGGAAAAGGAGUCCUUCCCUGAUAAUUCACAUUUUGUAAUGCUUUGUAAAGUGAACAUAUAAUUUCAACAGAUAUGCUUUUUUGCUGAUUCACUCAUGAGUCUUUAUAUUGUGCAAAGCCCUAUGCUAGGCACUGGAGAAAGUGAGAGAAUGGGACCCAGUCUCUGUCCUUUUUCUUGUCUUAAUCCUUCUCACUCUUGCAGUUCCUCCUCAGGAUCCAACCCCUUGCUCCUCACUCCUCUGGUCGUUUUAGCUAUCCCUUACUCCACUGAAUACACACACACAGAUACACACACACACCACAGGUACACACACACCUACAUCCCACUCUUGACUAGAUAAAGGGCCUAUGCCAGUUGUGGAAUCUGCUUAGAGGUUGAGGCAAAAGUCAAGGGGAUUUGCUUUCACUUGGAAAUUAGAGGUGUGGUUUCAGGUGGUUGGUGACCAGUUCACAUAGCUCUGGUUCACUCUGCCCUGCUGCCUGGAGUUGCCUUCAGUUUCCUUAGGUGAAAAUGGGUCAUGGGAAGAUGCUGAAGUUGCGGUUAAAGGAAGUACCAAGGCGCUUGCCUGACUCUCUUUAGACCUGCAGUUCUUUUAGGGACCACCUAUUGCAUCAAGGUUGAGCAGAAUGUUGCACACAUAUGUGACUUCUUUUACUUUUUCUUCGCAGAUUCUUAAAUUGUGUUUGCCUUCUUGUCUCCCUCACUCUCUCUGGUACAGAGGUCGUAGGUUUCAUUUGAUUACAUUUUCGUUCUCUGUUAAACUAGGCUGAGUCACCUUGCUCCACACAGCUAUUUAGAAUUUGCUCGUUUGUUUUUUUCUUUUUAACAUCUCCACUGUUAAAAGUUAAUGCUUUCUCCUUUUAUUUUCACUGACUGAAUGUCAGAGGACUUAACAUUAAUAGAAGUCUGUCUCCUCUAUUACCUUUCAGGAAUAGACAUUCAAACCCUUUCGGGAAUCAUAAUCUUCAGUAGAAAGAAAUCUAUAAUAGAUUGACAACUUUUUAAACAUCUUUUCCUAAUACUCUCAUAGCUUUCAAUUUGGACUGUUUCAUUUAAUUGAAGAAACAUUAUUAGCAUCUUUGCCAUGCAUAAAAAUAGAUUAUGUUUGAAGCAUAUGAAAUGUUUCUAGCUCCUUAGAAGAAAAUACAUUAAUAUCAUAUUGUUAUAUAUUGUUGAGCUUGUUUUUAACACCUUACUUAGGAGCCUAGCUAUAAAAUAAUUUUAACUAUGAAAGGGACCAACACCUCCUACUGGUACUUCCAGUUAAUCUCCUGGAUGCUUCUAGAAAGACUGGCCCUAUGCCUGCUUCUUACUGAAUCAUGUUCCUAUGUAUAAUAUUUUAUCCAAAUAAAUGACAAUACAAAAUCCUUUUACUUAAACAAGUUUAGGACUAUAAAAUAUUUCAAUUCAUAUUUUAAUUUUAAUAAUUUUGUUCAUAGCUUUCAGUAAUAAAGCAAAAUGGAACAUUUUAUUUUUGUGAAGCUUAUCAUUGUUUGCUAAGACAGUAAUGUUAGAAAAAUAAUCUUUUCCCUAGGCAUAACAAAACAAAUGUUUAAGAUAGAUUUGAUUGAGCAUUUAAAAUUUUUAAAGAUGAACUUGCUUCUGGGUCUUCACUUCUUGGAGAGAAUCCUUGGGAAGAAACUUAAAAAGAUUUGGAUUUGUCUUUUCUUUGGACAGAACAUUUUGUUCUUUAUUCUAAUUGCAAAUUCCUCUGGCCCUGGUUAUAGCACAUAUUUUCCUCUUUAUUCCACAACUUCCACUCUGCUUUCUGUUUGUUUUUAAUGCUCAGAAGGGUUAAUUUUUGCCUCAAUUCCUGAAAAGAGAAAGUUGAUUGCCACUAAUCCAUUUUAGUGUAGGUAACAUGAAAUAUUUGUUAACCAAAUUAAAUCUGGCUGAAUUGAAGUGCAUAACCACUCAUGGAAGGAUGCCACUCUCUGACUUACUGGUGUUAGUUUCUCUUGGAUUAAUUAACAUGUUGUAAGAUAGUCUAGGCAUACUAAAGUCACUGUUUAAAAUAGGUCACAUCAAGUAGCAGAGUAUGAAAAUGUCCAUCCUUAUAAACCAGGGAUGGCAAACUCAGGUGCCUCCUGGAACUAGAUUGGUUAAAAAUGAGUGAAGGAGGACAGGUAGCAAGAUUGUUCCUCGUUUGUCACCAUGAAGCAUCAGCAGAUUGUUGACUUGUGAAAAUAAAGGCAGAGGGUUGCCAUAUUUUCUUUUCUUUAUUUUCUUUUCAAGAUACAGCAGAUACCCCAUUUUAAUGUAAUUGUAUCAAUUUUUUAAAUUAGGCAACUAAUCAAAGAUUUUACAAACAGUGUGCAGUCUGUGUUUUGUACAUAGGCUGUCAGUUUGUGACCUCUAGAAACCCCAUCAAUUUGAAAGAUAAAUUUAGUCUUAUAUUAAAAACAAAGUGCACAGUGUUCUUAAUUCUGUGGUCAGUGGCCAACGGUCCAUUUCCUUUGGGAAAAAGUUUAUUUUUGAGUCCCAUGAUCCUCACUCUAAGCAAAAGACUGAAAGACUAUUUGGGUUGAUAAUUUACCCAACAGCAUAUUGAAAAAUGUUAAGUCGGAAGUCAGUUCCUCAUACUGUCUGGUAAAAUCUGCAGUGUUGGUGUGGACUAAAUCUAUAGUUUAAAAAAUGUUUUAUAGUUUAAAAAAUCAUGAGAAGGCCUGUUAGGUAAGAAUGCCCCCCACCCCAACACACACACACAAAUUCCAAUGACUUUAAAAUUACAAAAUUACAUUUUUGGUAUAUCUCUAUCUUAGCAACACUGUAUUCUUUUCCAUCUCUUUAAAAUGUGCCACAAUUAAAUACACAUAAAAUAAUCUUUUAUAUAUUUAUAUAUACUUGAGCCACCUUUCAACUUUUACUUCUCUAGAUUACAUAAUUCAGACUUCUUUAAUAUUUACAUAUAUCCUGUUUUAUAUAUUUUUAAAUGUGUUCUGUACUGUUGCCUAGACUAGACUGGUAUUGUUAAUAAUCAUACUAAAUGCCAAUGCAUUAUAUAACUGCUUUAUUACAUCUUAUAUAUUGUGUGUAUUUAUCUAGAUUAGAUUGCUUUUUACAAAUGGUUCUAUCCCAAAACAGCAUUAGUUUUUGAUUCUCACCCAGCUCUACGGCUUUUUGACACAUUUGUUUCUGCUGCUGGAGAUUGCUAGUCCAUUGUGUUAUUUCCCCAUAAAUGUAUAAAUGUAUACCGAUACUUUAUUUGAUUUUUAAAUUUAUAUUGAAGAUAUAACCUAUUGUUUUGAACUACAAUUAUGUCCAUUCCUGAGUUAGCCACACCAGCUAUCCCUGGUGUCAUGUCCUGUUUGAAAUUAAGUAUCAUGUGUUUUUCUUUAUUGAAGGCAGUUAGCUCGAGUGUUUAAGAAAUACUGGCCUCAUCCUUGGGGAACACUGUAGUAGGCUUCCUUGACAUUGAAUCAUUGGUAACUGUUCUUUCAUAGGCCCAAUUUGACCAUCUGAUUUAUGUUGUAUGUAUCUUAACAAUUGAGGGGGACUGACAUAACUGGAAGAAAAGUGCACAUAUUUUAAUGUUGGCAUCACCCAAAACAAGGACAUCUUUAGCUGCUAGAUUGAAAUUAUUUACAAUUUUGCACUUACUUUAUGGUACCAAGUACAAGUAUUCUAGUUACACUUGUGGUUUUAGAGAGUAUUUGCUGCUCAUUUGGAGUCUCAAAUGCAAAAUAUAACCCUGUAGCUAUUAUGUGGGUUUGCGACACUCCCAUGGGGACCUUGGGCUCAUAAACCAGCGAAUGGAUUAUAUAAUGCUGCAUAAAUGCUGUAUUUUUCAUCUGACAGACAUAAUCUUGAUCCUAUAUUUUUAUGUUGCCUAACUGCUUCAGAAUACCACUUUUGAAGCAACCCAUCAAAAUGGAAAUUGCUUCUAAAACAUGUAGCAAUAAAUAUUGGUCAAGGCUCUGUGUAAUUCAGAUUGACUCAAUACUUGAACACUACUCGAUUGAAAUUCUCUACUGUUUUUAAAUAAAAGGUUGAUAAUUUCCAUUUUAUGGUAUUGUUUGAUCCUUUUCUUUGUUAGGCAUAUAUUUACUUUGUUAAAAUUAAAAUUUUAUUUUCUGAUUGUCUAAGGCAUGCCUGAUAGUCAAUCAAGCAUUUCAGUAGGUAUAGAUAAAAUAUUGAGAACUUACAUUGAAAGUUAAACCACAUAUGGAUCAAGACAUAUAUGUGAUAUAGAUCAACAAAUAUAUGUGGUACCUAUGAAACCAGAUGAGCAUCACUUUCAAACUUGCAGUAUAGAGCUCUGUGUCUAACAUGUUAUCUGAAAGACUUGAUGCCAGAGCUAUGAUUUUGCUCCAGCCUCUCAUAAUCUCACUCUCUCUCUGUGUGUGUUUCUGUGUGUGUGUGUGUGUGUGUGUUCAUUUUUGUUUUUGAGAUAAGGUCUCAAUCCAUCAUCCAGGCUGGAGUGCAGUGGUACAAUCAUGGCUCACUGCAGCCUCGAUCUCCUAGGCUUAAGUGUUGCACCCACCUCAACCUACCAACUAGCUAGGACUACAGGUGUGUGCCACCACACCUGCUAAUUUUGUAUUUUUUCAAGAGAUAGGGUUUUGAACUGGCUGGUCUUGAACUCCUGGGCUCAAGGGAUCUGCUGGCUUUGGCUUUGCAAAGUGGUGGGAUUACAGGCAUGAGCCACUGCACCCAGCCUCAUUGUUGUAUAUUAUCCGAUGUGCUAUUUGCUUUACAAAUAAUUGUUAUACUCUGCUUGUCCUUUACCGAAAACAUGACCAAAAACUAUCUGAUAUUUACUAUCCAAUUUUGUUGAAUAAAAGAGGAAUCCAGAGUUGUUAACUUUGGCUUUAGGUUCUCCCUCUUGCGACCAACUUUGAAUUAUCUGGGCUGGGUAGUCCACAAACAAUGUGUUCAUGUUGUCUCCCUCUUACUCACAAGCCUUCUGUAGCUCCCAACAUUCACUGCAUGAAGUUUAAACUCCUCUUCUAAAACUAUGAUAACCUGGUCUCAUCUUCCAUCUAAACAGCGAUUUCUUUUUAACUUUCACAUAGAUAUACUGUACACACAUUUCUCGAUUUUUGCCUUUGUCUAUUCAUUCCAGUCUGUCAUUUUCUAGUGCCAAUAUUAAGGAUCAUUUUAUGAUCUUACAUGUAACUGUUUUAGACUGCUGAUCUCCUUCACUUCUAAUCUUUUCCACCACUUUAUCUGUAACAUUCAAUAUAGCUCUCAAUUAGAUUAUGUCUUCAUUUUGUUUGCUAUUUUAUAAUGUGAUUGUCAGACCUAGGACCAUGUCUUCAAUUCCUGAGUUCCCACAUUCUGAGCACACGAUAGGUCUCAUUGGAUACUCAUUUCACUGGUGAUGGAUCUCCUGGCUCUUUUACACAGAGUAUCUUUUAUAAGCAGGCAUUGCCAUAAAGACAUUAGUUUUAAAAUUCUUCACUUCAGUAAAGAGUGAAUGCCGUAUAUAUACAUGUAUCUUCUUUGUGAGGUGAAUUGUGUGCUUUGGUAUUUUCUGGCAAGUUUUGUCAAUGGAGACUAGUAAAAUAAAUCCUUAGAGAUUUACUGAACAUUUAUUUUGUGACGUAUAGUUGACGUGUAAUACAGUUUUUACUGAGAGUUAAUACCUCACUUUGUAAAGCAUCUGUAUACUAACUCCUGGCUUAACUGUCAGGGAUGAUGCCUUUUUGUGGUCCUUUGUUUAGGAAUGUUGGUCUUUGUGACCCAAGAUAUGUGAGGACAUUCAUUCUUGAUUUAACUUUGCAUGUUACUGUUCAUUUUUAUUUCUACUUUGAAAAACAGGAAUUUUACUAAAAACAGAUUAUGAAAAAUGAAUUAGCAUUAGGAUAAAAAAUAUAUACUUUAAAAUUUAAGUUUGCAUUGUUAGUUGCCAUGCAAAACAUCUUGUUCCCUAGGUAAACGUGUACUUAAUCAAAUGGCAAGUAGAAUAAAAUGUAAACUAAUUGCCUCUGUGACUAAAUUCUCUAUUCUUGACUGUCUUCCUCAAGAGUAAUUCUUUCAUGUGAAGUCAGUUGACCAGUCUCAGUUACCUCAUUUUGGAGUGAAGUCUAGUACUCUGAAAAGGGAAAGAUAAAUUAUUCUUUGGGGAGCAAUGCAGUUUACUAAGCUGUGUAUGAGGCCUGAGGUCAGGUGACCCGACUCUGUUCAAAUUGUCAAAGGCAAGUGUCAAUUGACAGUGUGUUCUGCUCUCUAAACUAGCACUCAAAGCCUAGUGGUUGAGCUUUCUGUUACCAUUUCUUCUCCACUGCUCUGGAGAAAGGUUUUGUUUGUCUUGCUGGCUACUGCUAGUACCCAUUUAAAAAGUUUAGACACAAUUCCUUCAAUAUUAUAUCUAGAAAAAUCUAGGGUGGUCUUGGAGGGCACAGGAGAAGAAGUUAGUGAUCCCCUGACACAGUUUUAUGGCUUUGAAUACCAUUCUGUUUCUUUUCUCCUCUAACUCUUCCAAAUGCCUCUGAGAAUCAUGAUAUGAACUUUAUCAUUUUGAUAAUACCAAAAGAGAUGUCUCUGGAAGCAUGUAGCUGUGCAUGUAUGUGUGUGUGUGUGUGUGUGUGUACACAAUCUCACACAUACAUCAUAAUAUAAAAUGUGUUAAUAUUAAGUAAUGACUGAUUAUUUUAAAUAAUAACACUCUUUACAAAUACAUACGUCUUCUGCCCUUCAAAGCACACUUGGCCUCCUGCUUGGAAAGUGCUUUCUGUCUAAUAGCACUUUCUUCUGAUCAUCUUUAAUUUUGGCAACACUUAUCACUUUAAAAAGAAUAUAUAUAUAUGUGUGUGUGUGUGUGUGUAUGUGUAUAUAUAUAUAUACACAUACAUACAUAAACACAGGUAUAUGAUUUGGGAAAAUAGCUAAAUGUCACUGGGAGCCAGGCCUAGUAAAUGAGAUACUGUUAGAAUUGAUUCAAUAAAAUUGAUAAUAUUUGGUCUCAAAACCAAAUUGUAAGUAUAAAAUAAAACUAGUGUGCUUGUGUGUUCCUAACUAGGACUAUAUGUGUAAUGUGAUAAUCUACAUAAGGCAGUUUCGCCCACACUUCUCACUUCUUUACCGUUCCCAACUCUGCUUUAUAUAGCAAUGAAACUUCAGGUAUGUUGUUGCACUGCUCAUCAAAGUACCACUUUUAGAAGAUUGUACUUGAAGAGUUUUUAAAUAGCACUAGAAAGACUCUGCCAUGCCACAGAAAAGCUUUUCGCCACAUUAAGUGUACAUUUAAUCAACAUUAUGGCAAUUAUAGCUCUACUAGAAGUCCUUCACCCUCUGUUUUGUGGCGAGAACUUUGUCUAGGAUAAAACUGUCAUGAGUAGAGGUAAUUUAAAAUUCAUCCUCCUUUUAUUUAUGUCAGAAUAUGACAGGGUGGGAUGAUGGAUACCCAUCUUUUUCUAAUUGUAGCAAUCUAUUCUAAACUUCAAAGAUAACUUGUUAGAAUUCUCAUUAUUUAAAAAAAUGUUAUGACACCAUUUCUCAGUCAUUGCUUUUGUACUAUUUCAAUAAUCUCCUUGGAUAUACUGAUUGAGAAACUGUUAUAAGGCUUACUGCGAAAUUGACGAAGUCCAAAUUUGAUGACUGUCCCAAAUAGUUUUGUGCCUUUGAUAGAUUUUACAUGUGUUUUUUUCUAUAAAUCUGCCUUUAAAAAUUUAUUGUUGUCUUCAGAUGUUUUCAUGAUAUGUUCACUUAGUAGUUUAUGCCACAUGUCUUUAAUGCAGUUCUAGAAACCCAUUGCUGAGAAAGUGAAGUUCUCUUUCAAUAUCCAUAAUGAAAGUCAGUUUACUGGCGAGCACACCUGGGUUUGGCUUCCUAGUUAUUCCUCCAGUAACACUGUAUUGCAUGUCUUAGGAAAAACUAUUUGAUGAGCUUAGAUUUACAAAUUAAAGUAUUCUUCCACUUACUUCAGAUAACGAUACUGCAAGAUCGUUAAUAUUGACCUAGAAGAAGUCUGGCUCAGCCUUCUGAUUGAUGAGCUGUGGUGGCUGUGAAUGCUAACAUAACCUUAAUCUAAAAUCAUGAGCCUCUACCAAGGGAGGUAGUAGUUCCUCUGAAUGCUACACAGAUCAUGUCACUUUUGAAGUCAUGGUUUUUGUCUUGGACUGCCUAUGCCCUAAGGGGAACACGGCCAAACAUGUAUUUAUCUAGAAGAUGUCAGAAAAAGUGAUUGAUCUGAAAAACUUCUGUCUGAGAGAUUAUUAAAGUAACUUGGAAAGUUGUUUUGGAAAUAGGAAGAAAGACCCCAAGGAAGAUAUUUUCACAGUUUUUCUUUAUCUGAAGAGCUGUUGCCAACUCAUCACAAAAGGGUAGAACAAGGAGUACAGAUUAAUUUGAAAAAUAUUUCUGAUUCUGAAUUCAAAGUCUAAUUGUAAAAAAGAAGAUAGCAAUGAGAGAGUAUAGUCCCAUACCUAGCUAAGUAAAUGAAACUGUUAGGUGUUUAUGGAAUAGGAAAUAUGACUCUUCUAGUCAUCAUGGACCCAACCUUAAAGAAAGUUACAGUUCACUGGGUGCGGUAGCUCACGCCUAUAAUCCCAGCACUUUGGGAGGCUGAAGCGGGUGAAUCACGAGGUCAGUAGCUCGAGACCAGCCUGGCCAACAUGGUAAAACCUUGUCUCUACUAAAAAUACAAAAAAAAAAAAAAAAAAAUAGCCAGGCAUGGUGGCUCCCGCCUUAAUCCCAGCUACUCGGGAGGCUGAGGCAGGAGAAUUGCUUGAACCUGGGAGGCGGAGGUUGCAGUGAGCCGAGAUCACGCCAGUGCACUCCAGCCUGGGCAACAAGAGCAAGAUUCCGUCUCAGAAAGAAGAAGAAAAAAAGGAAACUGACAGUUCAAUAAUGAAAAUACGCAUUUUCAUAGCUCUAAUAAAAGUAGAAAAGAAUGUUUUUAACUAGAUUUUACUGAUAAAGCCCUGUGGUUCAUAGAGGAGAAAGUGAUCACUUUGAGUGAUAAACAUCUACCUCUCCCUCUGAAAGCCUAAAGUGGGGACAUGUACCUGAAAACUAGAUUGUGUGCUUGAAAGAGAAUGUAGACAACCAAGCUAGGGAAGAAAAGACCUGAGACCUAAUGGGUUAAAUUCUAUCCUUGGGACUUGGACGUGUUACCUGACUUCUGGGUCUCCAUUUCCUCAUCCAGGAAUACAAAAUUAGACUAUCUGUUAUGAUCAAAUAAUAGAACUAUUGUUAGAAUCCAGCUUGAUAAUAUUUGUAGAGGAUUUUAAAAAUGCAAAAAGGCUAUGCAAAUAUUAGGGACUGCUGUGACUUAAAAUUUCAUCUAGCUUGCUUUUGCUAUGUUUAGGCAGAGUAAAGGCUGAACUUCUCUUGACUUUUUGUAGUACCUUUAUAGAGACUAAAUAGUAUUUCAAGAUAGGAAUGACUGAAUAAUAUAUUGUUUACAAGUCUCUAAAGUGUGUGUGUGUGUGUGUAAAGAUAAUUUUUGGACAAACAUCAUAAUGAUCCUGUAAUAAUGAUCUAUGAUAAAGAAAAACUCUUGAAGUAUAGCAUUUACACAUAAACUUAAAAACACACAUUUCUCAUUAGUGGAGAUUUUAUCAUUGAUUUUCAACAUUGGAAAAACACAGAGAUUGUUUUCUUUGCAAAUCCCAUAGAGAUAUGUUGACAGGAUGAUACAGGAAAAAUCAUAUUAUGUAUAACUUUGUAGUAACAUGAUUGGUGUUUAAUAUUAAGCAGAGUAUGAAAAAAAACAACCUUAAUAAAAAAUUAGCUAGACCAUAAAAGCAUCAGAAGAUAGUUCAUUAAAACAUGUUCUCUAGGCCUGCCAUUACUCCCUGCCCUUCUAUUUCAGUGGUUCUCAACCUUGGCCGCACAUUAGAAUUACCUGGGGAGCUUUAAAAAUCUCACUGCCCAGGCUGCACCCCUAACCAAUUAAUUCAGAGUCUCCAGGGGGUGAGAACCAGUUAUCAGUAUUUUUUAAAGCUCCCCAGGCAAUUCCAAUGUGCACCUAGUUUGAGAUCUACUUCCCAUAUCUAUCUGUAGUACCAUAUUGGAUUUACAAAUUGGAAUGCUAUUUUUGACUCCUUCUUUGUCUCCUUUCUCUCCGUUUAAUCUUACCAAGUUCUGCAGAUUCUCCCUCUGCUGUAUUGGUUUGACCCUUCCUAUCCCCAGUAAUGCUAGCCUAGCCCAGGCCUUUAUAGCUUAAUAUCUAGUUUUCUUCUUCUAGUCCCUCUUAAAUGGUGUUACCAGACACUUUCGAACAACAAUCUUUGAAACAACAAUUUUGUCAUUUCACUUAAGAACCUAUACUGUUUUAGCAUCCUAAAAUUCAGGAUUUUUGUAAUCAAACUCUAUUUACAAAACUAAUCUUCUGAUAUCUUAUAUUUCCUAUUGCAACACUUUACGAGUAGAAGAGAAUUGAGGAUUCAGGAAGGUGAAUUCUUUUAAAAACUAUUUCACUUGUAAUCCUGGGGGCUUUGAGGCAUGGGCUGGGGAGGAAAAGGGAGAAAGAUGUUCAACAAAAGGCAUAUCCAGGCUAUCUUUUCCUCCAACCCAUAUGUCUCCCUUUAGCCAGACCAAAUCCAGUCUGGUUUCUUAAUAUAUUUGGGUUGUGCUUAAGAUUUCAUUAGAACAGAAAAGAGUUUCACUGCUAAAAGAAAAAAAGAAGAAGAAGAAACUUUGACAACCCCUGGUGGCUAAUCCUCUCAUUUCACAAGGGAGGAAACUAAGGCUCAAAGAGGUUAAGUGACUCAUCCAAAGUCAUAUAGCUAAAAUGUGCCCUUUGUUCCUGCUAGCAUAGUCUCUUCACUUUCUCUGAAAAGUAAGAAGAAAUGUCAUGCUAGCACUUGACACAAGGCCCUAUACGUACAGGUGUUCAGCAAAUAUUUGUUGAAUGAACACUUGAAUGAAUGCUAUUUCAUAUUUCUGUUUCUGUUCACAUUGUUACUGUAACAAGAAUGCCUUUUUAAAAAAUUCUCACUUUCACCUAUAAAAGCAAUCAUUCAAUGCAGGUCUCAUCCUACUUCUGCCUCAAAGUCUCUCCUUAUAAGCCAUGACUGUAAAGGUAAUUUAUUUGAUUAUAUUUAAACCAUUUUAAACUGUCCUGUUCUGUAAUUAUUUUCUGGAUGUGUCUUUUCUCCAUAACAAGAUUGCAUGUCUGUUCCUUGAAGUGCAUGACUUUUGCCACGUACUCCUCCUUUUAUAUCUCCUCCAGCAUAGACAAAGCUUAAUAAAUACUUGUUGUGUUGGAUUACUGGAUUGCCUGCGGCUAUAGACUGUUAUUUUAUGCUCCUGCUAAUAGUAAUUAAAACUCACUAGAAUCAAAUAUCAUAUCCCAAAAUAUGAAGUUGAAUUUGUACUCAGUUUAUGAAAUGCUCUUUUGUUAGAGAAUGAAACAAAUGGGAUUUUUAUAUCCUCAAAUUCCUUUCCCAUUAGAAUAAACUCACGUUAUUUUCAUUUUAACCUCUGUUUUGUUUUGUUUUGUUUGUUUGUUUGUUUGUUUUAACAAAAGAUUGCAACAGGAAAAGAAAGUAGAUUAAAUAAUUUGGUGUCUGCCAGAAUUUUUGUCCUGAGGUCUCUGAGUAUUCGCAGUCUUGGUCUCUUAGCACAUCAGCCCCUGAAAGCAAGGCCAAACUGCAACUUCAUGAGAAAUACACUUGGGAUAUGUCCAAUCCGGUGUGAGCCAACUCACACUUGCCUUCCUUAUUCGAAGCCACAUUUCCUGGCUGGACUAGUGAGAAUUGUCUUUUGAAGAAAAAAGAGUGUUUCUGGAUUGUUUUCAGGCCCUUUUAUUCACAGCAGUCAUUCUAGCAUUCUCCACAGAGUUCUUCAUAAGCCAGUAGGAAAAGCGAUUCCAUCGUUUUCCCUGGAAAAGUAUUCAAAUGCAUGAUUUGUCCCUUGGAAACUUACUUUGAUGAACUUCCCAGUGAAUGUCCACACUCUUUCUUAAAGUUUUACACAUACACAGACACAAAGAUAUUUGAAAACAUAUUUGCCCUUCAUCGUGCUUCAAAAUCGUGCCAGGCGUGCAGUCAUCAUGUGUUCCUUUGCCUUGUAUGUAUUUCUGUCUUAAGGAGUCACUUUUAUCUUUUUAAGAGAUGGGGUCUCAUUAUGCUGCCCAGGCUGAUCUUGAACAUCUGGACUCAAGGGAUCCUCCUGCCUCAGCCUCUCAUAGUGCUGGGAUUAUAAUUAUGAGCCACUGUUCAUGGCCACCAGGAGUCACAUUUUUAAAAAGAUAAAUAUAUAUACAAUAUUGUCAAAAGUAGAGAGAAAAGUUGUGGUGUCAUUUGGAACCUAUUUCUUCCUCUGUAAAGGGGCUACAUGAACUCCAAGGACCAUUCCAGCCUAUGCAUUAAGCAAGCAGUUUAAUGAAGCGUUUCAAAUCCUUAGUAUUAUUUGCUUUAGUAUAGGAUUCUUUCCAUUCAUUCACUCACAUUCAGGUAUUUGUUCAUUCAACAACUAUUUAUUGACCCCUCCUCAGAAAAGCAAUAAAACACUUAAGAAAAUGGCCCUAGAUUUCGACUUGUAUUUGAAUUCUAAAAUUUAAUUGAUAUGUGAACAUGGGCAAGUUACUUAACUUCUCUGCAUUUCAAUUUUCUGUGAAGUGAUCGUAAUAACAGCACUAUUGCUUAAGGUCAUUGUGAGGAAUAUAUAAUUCCUAUUAGUACCUUAGCAUAGUGUCUGGCACAUGCCAUAUGUUCAAAUAAUAUGUUACUAUUAUAGCUUAUUCUCUGCUAGACAGGCUGAUAAGGAUACCAGAACUAAUAAGGCAUUUUUUUUUUCUUUCUGUUAGGGAGCUCAGAAUCUAAUGAAAAGGGAACAUAUAUGUAGGUAUAAUUUUACUAUAUAACAAGUACUAUAAUAGAGUUAUAUACAGUGGACUCCGGGAGCCCCAAAGAGGCUGCAUGAAGCUCUGGGGAGGGGGAAGAUUGGGGGGAAGCACAGAGAGGCGAUGGUUUAUCUGACCUCUGAAGAAUAUGUAGGUAGCUGCCAAAUUAUAGGACGGAAGGUAAAAAGAAGAAUGAGCAAGCAGCAUGAACAAAAGGAUGGAAGCACUAAUUCUAGAAGAGCAAAUCAAUUCACAGGCUUCCAGGUGAGGGGGUGAUGGCAGAUGAGAUGGGGCUUGUCGUGGUGUCAGCCUGAUCCCUUGGCUGUUCUCCCAUGACUUGCUAACCUACUGCUACAGAGAAUUGAGGCUGUCUCAGAAAAGGAGUCCAGAGGUAGUUGGCUGUAGUGAGGAAGUAAGAUUUUGUGCUUGGUUUGCGGUGCCACAAGAAGAUGUAUACCAUGAUAGCAAGAAUCAUAAAAGGGGAUGUAUUCCAGAAGAAGGUAGAAGAGAAAUGGUCUGGAAAGACUGGGUAGAGGACAAAAGGAGCCAGAUGAUAUGUUAUGUUAAAGGAGACUCUGAAGGCUUAAUUUUGGAGAUAAACUGUUAAUUUUAAUGUGUACACCCAAUACUGUCUUUGUAUGCCUACAUAGUCCCUGUUGUAUCUAAAAGAUCACACCAUUUUAGAAAAAUGUUCUUGGAACUUUAGGGACUAGUUCCCUUUGAGUAAACAUGCUUUAGAUGAAAUGAAGAGGCAGUGCGUAGUGCAAUCAUUCCACGCUUUAUGUCCUAGACUUACAGUAGCUAGAUUCUGGAAUUGACUCUUCUGCUAACAAACUUCAUGACAUUUGGUAAGUAUUGAGUUUCAUAUUUCUCACUUAUCAAAGAAAGUGCAUGUACCAGACAAUGUGGAAGUUGAUUCCAGUUCUUAAGUUCUACUAUUCACAGUUUGUAAUAUAUAAGUUGAUUUUUUUUAAGAUAAGUUAGAACUUUCACUAGAUGUAGAAACUGAAACAGAUUAUAGAGGACAAUUAGCAUAUUUUUAAAGACAUGGAGCCAUUUUAAGAAGAGUGGAAAAAUAGUAUCUUAAAUCAUGUGCAAUGAAAGCAAGGAACCAAGGAAAAUUGAACCUUUAAACCUCCCUGCUUCUCAUAUAAACACUCAAUAACAAGGAAAUGUUGGCUUAAGAAAUCCAACUAUUAUAGAAAGAAGAUGGAAAGUUAGACCAGGAUUAGGAAGGCAAUGCUUGACUAAAGCUGGUAUACUUUAAAAAGUAGGAUCCACAGUUAGCUCAAAUAGUGUACAUUUUUUUUUUUUUGAGACGGAGUCUCGCAGUGUCGCCCAGGCUGCAGUGCAGUGGCGUGAUCUCUGCUCACUGCAAGCUCUGCCUCCCAGGUUCACACCAUUCUCCUGCCUCAGCCUCCCAAGUAACUGGGAAUACAGGCGCCCGCCACCAUGCCUGGCUAAUUUUUUGUAUUUUUUUUAGCAGAGACGGGGUUUCACCAUGUUACCCACGAUGGUCUUGAUCUCCUGACCUCGUGAUCUGCCCGCCUCGGCCUCCCAAAGUGCUGGGAUUACAGGUGUGAGUCGCCACGCCCAGCCUCAAAUAGUGUGCAUUCUAAGAUUCAUUAUAACUCCCAGACUUUAAGAGCCAGUAACUGAUUUGUAGAUCCAACAAGGAUCAGAGAUACUUAAUAUUUAUAAUGAUCAACUUCAACGUAUAAGAAUGCAGUAACACAAUUAUUCAAUUGCCAUUGCACUGGUAUAGAGUAACUCAAAUUACUAAGUAGCCAAAGACUAGUUUUUGAAGAAUAAAUUACUCCAGAUAAAUUUAAUUUUCAUUAAUGAUAAAAUCAUAGACCACUUAUUGUAUAUGUGUGUGAGUGGGGUAGUAGGAGGAAAGUAAAAGGUAUCUCAAAUCUCACAUGAUUUCUUCAAUGAACUGGACAUAAAACUGAGGUUGUAUUAUUGUUGGGUUGAUUCUUACUAGGGAAUGGCUAACACCUCAUAGGUAGUUACCCAUGAGUUACUUGCAUCUAGAAGACUAUCCCAAGGAUAUCUUCCAUGGCCCAGAGUGACUGGUGUUAUUUGUAAAGGUCUCUGUCAUGGAAUGCUUACCAGGAUUUUGGUGAAAUAUCAUCUGUUUUAUCUUAAAAUUAUUUUUAUUCUUAUUUCCUCAAGUAUUAGUGACUCAAUUGUAAAUUUGCUCAACCCCAAUAGUUCUAAUUAAAAGCAAGUUAACAAGAAAGUCUGGAAAGCUCUCAUAGUUUAGAGGAGCUUAAGAUGACAUGUUGGUCAGGCGUGGUGGCUCACACCUAUAAUCCCAGCACUUUGGAUGGCCAAGGUGGGCAGAUCACUUGAGGUCAGGAGUUUGAGAUCAGCCUGGCCAACAUGUUGAAAACCCGUCUCUACUAAAAAUACAAAAAUUAGCUGGGCGUGAUGGCAGGCACCUGUAAUCCCAGCUACUCGGGAGGCUGAGGCGGGAGAAUCAGUUGAACGUGGGAGGUGGAGGUUGCAGUGAGCCAAGAUCGCACCACUGCACUCCAGCCUGGGUGACAGAGCGAGACUGCAUCUCACAAAAGAAAAAAGAAAAAAAAAGACAUGUCAACUUAAAGCACUGUGGUAUUCUGGAUGAGAUGAUUCUGGGACAGAAAAGGAAUACUGGGUAACAACUAAGGAAAUUCGAAUAAAAUAUUAACUUUAGUUGACAAUAGUGUAUUGGUAUUGGUUCAUUGGUUGUGCUAAUGCACCAUAUUGAAGUAAUGUAAGAUGUUAAAAAUAGAGGGAAUUGGGUGUAGGAUAUAUAGCAACUCUACUAUCUUUUCAGCUUUUCUCAAAAUUUAAAACUAUUCUUAAAAGGUCACUCUCCUUCCUCCUCUUCCACACAACCCCAUUGCGUUAUUCAGUAUAUAUUGCAUCUUAUUUUGGCUUCACAUAUCUAGAAAGUUGAGGAAUAUGGAAAAGAGCAGGGAAAGUAAAAGAUAGGAAAGGUUAAAAUGUCUAAGUGACUUAAAGUUACCUAGCUCAACAAAGACAACAGUGUCAGGCUUUCUGAAAAUUGUUUCAAAAGGCUUUCACAAGUAUGUCACUGAGUAGAACACAAAACAAAAGAAAAUGAUUUUGAAUAAAAAAAGAGAAUUUAAUUUGAAAGAAUCCUUUUUUAAAUAAGAAGUUAUUUUAAUAUCAGAAUAGCCUAAUAAAAGUAAAGGAAAAUGUAGGAAAUCAUGUUUUAAAAAAGAUUAGCUUCUCUGCUGUCCAGCAUAGUAGCCACUAGCCUCAUGUGGCUAUUUAAAUUUGUUUAAAUUAAUAAAAUAAAAGAUUCAGUUCCUAAUUUGCAGUAGCCACAUUUCAAGUACUCACUAGACACAUGUGGCCAGUGGCUGCUAUAUUGGACAGAACAAAUGUAGACAGACCAUUUACACCAUUGCAGCCCUGAAUUCUGUGCUAAUUGAGAAGUCAGUGGGGUUAAGGUAUUUGGGAUAAAAUUGUUCAUAUUUGCUUGGAUGUUAUGGGUAGUUAUGUUUACCUAUUUGCAUGUCUUGCUUAGGAAUCCACAGAAACCCAAAUGAAACUUUGAAACAGUAGAGCUUCCUAUUUUACACCUUUUAUUUCCUAUUCCAUGCAGGGAAUAAGCCAUAUCAUCUUUCAGAUAGAUAAAAUCUGGCAGAGCCAUGCCCAUUCUGCAAACUUGAUGGUUCACAUCCUUCUUGAGACAGAUUGUUUGGCUUAAAGUACACGUGCAAGAGUCAACAAGGAUAUUGUUGCUGUCAACAAAGUUUAGCACAUAAGCAGAGUGGGUGACACUGUGAGAGUUUGAAAGCUAUCCCUCCCUCCUUUCAUUGAAAUAUAUUAUCCCUUGGGUAUGUACAUGUUAUCAGUUACUGCCUUUAUUAAUAUUUCCUUGCAUACAUAUUUUGAGUGCUAAUUCUUUUUUGUAUUAUAAACUAUGGAAUUUCCAUUUCUGAAUAUCCUCUAAAUUGUGAUGAGGUACAUAUCUUGGAUAGUACAGGUAAAGGGCUCUCAAAAGGAUGACUUCAGGUACUGUUCAGAUAUGUUUCAGGCUAACAGAUGACUUUGGCUAUCUGUGUAAAUAAAAUUGGGUAUUUGAGUUUUAAGACAAACUUAACCACAGAGCUGAUAUUUAUCAGCUUCAAAAUAUGAACUGAAAUACUUUUCAAGUUUUCUGAUAGUUGUUACAAAAUGACAUUUAUUAUUUUAAUAUUCUUGGUCACACAUUUCACUUUUACUUUAGAUGCUUUUUAGAAUUCAGAGGUAUGGUUUAGAUUAGUAUAAAACUAUGUUUCUCAGAUUCGGGUGCACAGACUCUAGUUAUAUAUAUAUAUAUAUAUAUAUAUAUAUAUAUAUAUAUAUAUAUAUAUUCCAGGAAUCCAUGAGAUGUUUUAAUUAUAUAUUUUCAUUUUAGUGAAUUAAAAUACAUUUUGUACGAAUAAACAUAAAAGUUUUCUUUGAUAGAGAAAUUUCCAAUUAAAAACACUUUUUAUAGAAGAACUCUAAUUUUUUAAAACAUUGUUUUUCCAUCUAGGCACUGGGUCUGUAACUAGUAUUAGUUUCAAAAUAAUUUUUCCUUUGAAAAUGAAUUUAUAGAUUACUCAAGUUUCAGAAACAUUAUGUAAUGAAUUUAAGCAAAAAAAGGAAUUCAUAUGUGUACUCCACAGCAUGCCUUAUUUACGGAUUCAGACUUAAGUCUUCUAUUAUUGUAAAUGGCAAUUUGAUUCCACACUGGCAUUGAGGAUUAAAAUAAUUAAAAAUAAAUUGACAACUACAUUUCUAAAUACUGAAGUCACAAUGAUCUUGUAGGCCAUGCUUGUUGAUACCCUUUCAUUUUGUACAAAACACCCCACCCCUCCCUCCAGCUCUCCCAGGUAUUUGCUUUGCGGUACAAGAUUCCUGUGCCACUGAGGCAUUUUGGUAAAAGGAGCCUUAAGUGAAUAUUUUAAAAUUAUAUAUAUAUUAUAUAUGAUGUAUAUAUAUUAUAUAUGAUGAAUCCUACUCAUCUUCUGUCCUCCCACAUAAAAGUGCAGUGUUUCCAUACAAUUGAAAAGAAGAGGCUGACAUGCUUGUACAAAAAAAAAAAAAAAAAAAAAAAGAAAGAAAGAAAAGAAAAGACAUUCAAGUAAAGGGACUUGGCAAGUAGAAAAAGAAUUAUGCUAGAAACACAAGGGCUGGGCAUGCGCACAUGCAGAUAUCUGGAUCAAGAAGCUCUGAGUCUGGGUCAGCGAUUCUCAAGCUUUGCAUGCAUUAGAGUCACCCAGAAGACUUGUUAAAGUACAGAUUGUUGGGCUACAACCCAGAAUUUCUGAUUCAGUAGAUCUCUAGGGCUCUGAAUUUGCAUUUCUAACAGUUUCCCCAGUGAUGCUGUUGCUGCUGGUCCAGGGACUACACUUUAAGAAUCACUAGUCUGUGAUAAGAAAUUCUAGAUUCUGAGUAGUUAGGGCCACAGUUUUUUCCUAUGUGUGUGAUGUCACGUAUUCCAGGUUGUUACAGACAUGAUCUGUGUGUCAGAUCUUGCAAAACAAGAACAAAAACAAUAUACUCUCUUGAUUAAACAGAGCAAUUAAAAACAAGGGACAUGGAAGAAGUGACAAGAAAAGGGGGAAAUUAGAGUUUAUCCAGGCCCUAUUACAUCCACUUCUGUUAAUAUUACUUCAAAUCUUUUGGAUCAAUAAGAAGAAACUAUGUUAACUCAAAUGUGGCAUGGAAAAAAUCCAUUGUCUGUACAUUACAUAAUUUUCUAAGAUUUCAUCUAAAUACUUUCAUAGAUAAAGACUUAAAUGUGAACAGGUUUUAGAAGUAUUCCUAAAGGGUCAUAUUUAGAUGUUACUUUAAAUUUGUCAGAGCUAGUAGAUUCUAAUCAAAGGUUCAAGUUCCACCUAUGAGCUAACCAUACUUCUUCUCAGAAAGCCAUUUAAAUACUCAAUGCCUCACCUUUUCUGUGGGAAAAAAAGUCAUUGAACUCUUACUAUUUUUUUUUUGUCAAGAAUGUUGUAAAGAGCAACCAUACAUGUGAUGAUCAUGCAAUUCUUUGGAGGAAGAAGGCACUAAAGAAAUCCAAAAACUGCAUUAUUAUUUUCAAAGAUUUAGUUGCCUAUAGAAUUCCUCACUCCUACUUCAAGAUUUGCUUAUAUAAAAAAUUAAAUUUGCUUCCACUUUAUGGUAUCCUUCAAAAUAUUUUCACCACAGCCCCCAAAUCAUUUCAGUUUUGUGAAAUUAAAUGAUUGCCUACAUUACUGUAAGUCUGAGUUAAAUUUGCCAUUUUAAUUUCAGUGUGUCUUCUUGAAGACAGUUAAUAUAAUUGGCAGUGCAAGACUGAAAACAGCUUUAGACCAGAAUUAUCUUUGUCCAUGUUUUUCUCUAUAUAAAACUCUUCAGGCUGGGAAUCCCAGCAAUAGCAUUUCUAGAAAGCUGCAAAUAGUGACGAAGUCAUGAAAUAGGGCAUUAGCUCAGAAGCAGAUCUCUACAUUAGAAAAGCGUAAUUCAUUUGUGUAAAACAAAACACAACAAAAACUGUAAAACACACACGCACGCACACACGCACAUUCAGCUGGCACAAAACAUAAGUAUGGAAAGCUCCUCCCUCCCACCUGCCUGCAAGAGAUACUAAAUUGGAGUUAGUAAAACUAAAUUCAUCAAUCUUUUCAGGUAACUUCCAAUUACAUGUAUAGUAUCAUGUAAGGGAGGUGAGUACUGAGAGAGAAGUGAGAAAACCAGGGUUCUGAUUUUGUGUAUAAUAGCUGCAUUCAGCCAUUCAUUUUAUAAUGAUGCCAAGUGCCAGAUAAGGAUAAUGAUGAGAAUUUUAUUAAUAAAUGUUAGCUAUGUAACAGACACUAUUUGAUCACAUUACAUGUAUUAUUUCAUUAUCCAACACUUUAUUAGAUAUUCAUAUCAUUUUAAGAGGUGAGGAAACUGAGAUAUUACCUGUAAUACAUGUUCACCUUUAAGUCUUUAUUUUUAAAGCCUAACCUGUUUCCUCACCUGAGGCUUCUGCCCCAAGCCAGGUCUGUCUGACUCCAGACACUGAGCUCCAAAUGGCUGUGCUCUAUUACCACCACACUACACUGUGUAGGGCCAUGAAAAUACACUGAAGAACAAAACAGACCCCGUCCCUGCCCCAGAGAGCAUAUAGUUUUAAUCCAUCUGAGCUUCCGUUUUCUUCUUGCAAGGUGGGAUAAGUUAUGGCACAGUAUGGCUUCAUUACUAGAUCUUUCAUAAAUCCCAGUCAAUUAAAUGAAGGUAUUAAUGAAACUAGCAUAUGUAAUUGGCAGAGUAAUUUUUGUAUGUCUCUUCUCCUUGGGAAAUGCAUAGUAAUCUUGGAAAGUUCACUGAACUUGAGCAUUGUACACUGAAAUCUUGGAAUAAGGCACCAUCUAGGAUAAAACAAAAACAGAAAAAUUGACUAUGUUUAUAUUCUUGGCUUAAAAAUUUUGCCUUGUCCAGAAGAGAAUCAGCUGUCAGAUUCAACUUACUACAGGAAACAGUAAAAAUGAAACCUGUUUCUAUAGCUUUCUUCCCUCAGGGACCCAGUGUCUCGCAAGUAUGUUUCCAUUUGAAGAAAUCCUCAAAUGAAUCCCACAUCUCAAGGUAGGUGUUUAUUUACACUUUGCAGAUCCAAUUCCAAGGCUCCACAUUUAGGGCAAGUUAAUUUUAAAAGCUUCCUACUGGCAUCCCUUCUAAAUAAGGGAUGUCUUUUUAUUUUGAAUAAUAUUUUUCUGUCGUAAGCUGCUCAGUUCCUAUCCUCACACACAUACUUACAUUUUCUGAUCAGAAAGUCUAACGAGAUAUGCACUGGCAUUAAAGAUACAUCAAUAAUGUAAAAUGUAACUUUUUGGUCCCCUAUUGCACUUCACUAUAUCUCUUUCCUCUUUGGAAAGUUACAGAAAUGGCCAUUUAAAGAAAUUAAGGUAAAAUACAUCUCAUUCAAAUAAAUGUGCAAAAUAAGAGAGAGUAAGUCAGAGUGUGCAUGUGUGUCUUUACAGUUUUCUCAAAAGACACUGAACUAAGGACUCUGCACCCAGGAGAGAAAAUAUACAUAUGACUCUAUGAACAACAGAAGAGUUUAAAGUUAACUUCUAAACAUCAUCGUGGCUUUUUUUUCUUGUUAUUGUUGUGGCUGUUUUGUUAUGCUGGCUGCCAGAAUCAUGGAAUUGAAGCAUGGAAUCGGCACUUUGUUUUUCACAUAGUAGAUUUUUCCUUGAAUUUCUGUGAGAUCAUCUAUGGAUUCCUCCUCAAUAAAUCAUUCUGCAAAUAUCUGUGAAGCACCUAUUGUGUGCAGAGCACUGUACUAAAGCCCUUCAGUAGCAUUGGAGGAGUCUAAUUGGAGGAGACAGAAAAUGUAACUAAGGCAUGAAAGCCUUUCUCAUAGAUUCUUAAUAGGGGCACUUCAUCCUAUAAACAUGUGCCCCAACCUCAUCCUUUAGUCUCCUAGCUUUCUGAAGCUUAUAUCAUAGAGUUACACAAUAUACCCAGUUUCCUCAGUAAAUCUUAGCAAGGAAAUCAAGGAUUCUUCUUUUAACAAAAUCAACGAAGUAGUUUUUUUUUUUUUUUAGAGCCAUUGAAAUAACUUGUUAUCUAAUUGUCAAAUAGUUUUCUAAUUCUACAUUGUGAUUGAAGAAUGAGGGGAAAAAAUGGACAGAGGAGAGGCAGAUAGCUCUGACCUGGGAACUAACACAAUAGAUCUUGAGAAACUUCAAAGUAAAACAAUUAUCUCAGCAACAGGGAUGAUUUGGCAUCCCUUUGUUAGCCGUUUAUGACACAUGUGUAAUACUUUGACAUCAAUUUAGAAACUGGCAUUUCUAGAGCCUUGCCAUAUUGCCAGGAUAUUUCCAUCUCAAUAAUAUAUUGAUUAUAUUAUAGUAAUGAGUUGGCCAAUGACUCACAGAGUUAUGAAGAGAUUAUACUAAAUUUAUCUGAGAUAAGUCAUGAUGAAAACUUCAGAAUUAUUACAUGCAUGUUUCAUAUCCUUGUCAUGUUAAUACUCACCUAUUUUGUGACUUGAUAUCAGCCCCUGCUUUUUAAUGUGAAUCAGAAGCUGUAAUUAUUUGAUGUUUUAUAGGACUUAACACAUUUUUAUGGGUGUUUGGCUUAUAGUAAAAAUCCUCUCUAGUUACAAAAAACUGCAAGAAAACCUAGAAAAGUGAAAUUUUGAUUUUUGGUUACUUUCUGGAAAAUGUUUAUGGGUAAUCAAUUUUUUAAACUACAUGGGUAAUUUUGUGAGUUAUCUUUCAGUUAUUAAUAUGUUGACUGAUCACAGACCAGUGAGGGGUAGCUCUGUAAAUGACUGUAAAUCUACCAAUUUUUUAUUAAAUCAGGAGGCAAAGGAUAGCGUAGUUUGUCCCAAGAUAUCACUGUGUAGAGCUCUGAGUUCAGAAUAUACAUACCUCCCACCCCAAAUGCUUAAGAUGUAUUUCCAUGAUCGUGAGUCCCUUUUCUGCAUGUUUAGAUUCUUCUGCAUGAUCUCUUCAACUUCCCUAAAUGGUUAGUAUGCCACAGAGGUUGAUUCCUUUUUAUCUAUGCUUUUUGUUUUUGCUGCCUUGUAUUUAUAAAACCUCCUCAACUGUGCUACACAUGGAAUAUUUGCCAAUUGAGAGAGUGUAGCAAAUGGAUGAUGGCAGCUAACAGAGGUUACAUGCCACACCUUCAGCACUCAUAGAAAGUGGGCACAUUGCAUCUCUGGGCGAUCACAAGCUGGUGCAAUAUCUUGUAAAAUACUGUUUGCCAAGUCACGCCAGCUGGAUAGAUAAUGGGAAUCACCGUGUUAUAUAGUAGUUCCAGUUCCAGACUGAUCUUGAUGCUAUGGUUGGUUAAAUAUUAUUGAUGAGCUAAUUAUGCUCCUAAAACAAACCAACAGUAUUCUUUAAAAAGGACUCUCCAAAAAUAAACAGAAAUACAGACAACAGUCUUGUCGUAAAGGCUAAUGUCUUUUUUUCUCUUUGCCAAAUUUGUUUUAUGUAUUGUGCAUAUAUAUCAAAAGAACUGCUUUAGAUCAGGUGUUUAAUGUAUUUUGAGGAAGAUAUUAAAUUGCUGAGAAUACUUCAUUCAUUACAAAAUAAAUAUACAUUGUGGAUGAAUUUAAAAGCUAGACUUUUAAUAAGUUGGUGAGGUGACAAGUAUGUUAACUAGCCUGAUUAAAUCUUUCUACAAUAUAUACAUCGACCAAGACAUGAUGUCAUACUGCAUAAAUAUACAUAAUUUUUAUUUGUCAACUAAAAUUUUUUAAAAAGCAGACUUUUAUAAGUAAGCUAUCGAUAAGCUAAACACUGGAAAAGAUGACAUGUAGAAUAAUUAGAAUUUGAAUGUGAGGCUGUUUAAAUAAACAUAGACAGAUCUGGACUCAGAAAUCUAUGUUCAUAUAGCACUACAUGCUGUUUAGUUGAUGACUUCAUUGCACUAUAUACUUACCACUAACUCCAGUGGGUAGCUAUUUUGCACUGUUAAGGUACUUGUUUCUUUGUUGUGGGGGGUUUGUUUUUUUACUUCUAAGUGACCAACACUCAUUUAAAAAACCUCUCUCACUCUAUUAUUCUAACUCAAAGUUGCCAGCCACAUUGUGUGCUGUAGUAUUAACACAGCAUCACUUUAGUAUUUGACAUAAUGCUUUGUGGCAGCUAAAAUUUAAAAAGGAUCACAUUUAUUCUAAUAUCAUUAUAGUUAUUGUGAUGUACCCAAGCAGAUCACUCUAGUUUUGCUAAAGCUGAGCUUGCUGUCCAUCAGAAUUACCUUCUUGCACAUCUUUUUCUAUAUAAUAAAAAACAUAAAUCUUGUAAUAUUAAUUCUUGUUUUUUAUUUAGAUACUUCAUUGAUGUAAAAAUGUUUAAAUAUCUUUUGGUCCUUGGAAGAGUGGGCAUCAAUGCUUCUGUAACCAUUAGUAGGUUACGAUCGAGAAUUUAAGUUAACUUUUCUAUUAAAUCCUACUUACCCAUGUUCUAAGGAUAAUCAUUUUUAAUCAUAGAAGUCCUCAGCAAUUAGAAGAGAAUAAAGAAUUUUAUUGUCACUAGGGAAAUAGAGGCUAACAUCUUGACGUAUAUUAAGUUUCAUUUCUUUGGGAGUUUGUUUGGCAGAUUAUGACUUGUGAACUCUUUGUCAUCUCUUUGGAAGAAAGCCACAAGAGCAACUGAAGACGUAGAAUUUGUAAAAAGAAAUUGUUUUAUUCAGCUUUGCUGUGACUGAAAGUUUGAUUAUAGACUGUGCCAUUUCAUCUUAUCUUUAAUCUACAGAUUUUUAAAUGGUUUCCUUUCUAAUCCACAAAUAUAAAAAUUAGAGGUUUAUUCAGACAAUAUGUAUGAAGUCAAAUACGUAUUUCUUAUUUAUAUGUAAGAUGUAAAGGAUAGAAAUGCAUUCUUAUUUAUUGGUUUCUGGAAGCUGAAGUAAGCCUGGGCAACAUAGGAAGACCCUGUCUCAACAAAUACAAAAUGCAAAUAUUAGCUGGGCAUGGUGGCAUGCGCCUGUAGUCCCAGCUACUCAGGAGGAUGAGCCAGGAGGAUCACUUGAGCCUGAGAGGUUGAAGGCUGCAGUGAGUUGUAAUUGGGCCACUGCACACCAGCCUGGGCGACUGAGUGAGACCCUUUCUUAAACAAAACAAAACGCUGAAGUAGUGUUUGUUUAGUUGUUAUUAGUUAUGUAGAUUUUUAAGAAAUGCACUCCAUAUUUUGGGGGGCCAACUUUUUUUCAGUUGAGAAAAUAUAAAUGAGUAAAAGGAGUUAUCAAAUUAAUACUUACAGCAGGAUGAAUAUCUUUCCUUUAUAUAAUAAGAAUUUAUAGUGUAUAUAUAUAUAUAUAUAUAUUCCUUUUUUUCUUAAUUAUGCUAAGAAAUUCUUCCUGAAAUCUAUACUAAAUGUCUUUUUUCUUUUUUUUCUUUUGAGAUGGAGUCUCACUCUGUCACCCAGGCUGGAGUGCAGUGGCACGAUCUCUGCUCACUGCAAGCUCCGCCUCCCGGGUUCACGCCAUUCUCCCACCUCAGCCUCCCGAGUAGCUGGGACUACAGGCGCCCGCCACCACGCCCGGCUAAUUUUUUGUAUUUUUUAGUAGAGACGGGGUUUCACCGUGUUAGCCAGGAUGGUCUCAAUCUCCUGACCUCGUGAUCUGCCCGCCUCAGCCUCCCAAAGUGCUGGGAUUACAGGCGUGAGCCACUGCGCCUGGCCUACUACAUCUCUUAUAAGUUUUACCUAUUUAAAACUUUGCUUUAACUGGACAGAGAGGGGGAAAAUGUGUUUUAUUACCAUGUAAUAUACUUUCAUGAUUUCUUAUGAAGAGAUGGAAUUCAAUUCAAAUCAGGCUUUCAUUCCUAUCUCAACUCCUAAAGCCUUUAUCCAGCUCACCACUCACUGUCCUGCAUGUGGCAAAUUGAAUAUUUUAUCUUAUUUGAGCUUCUACCAGGGUCCAACAAAGUUGACCACUGUCUCCUUCUUCAAAUAGUUUCUUCUCUUAGUUUGGGUGAUCACAGUCUCCUGGUUUUCUUCUUGGUAUCCUUUACUGGUUCUUCUUCAGUUUGAACUUUAUGUUAUAGGGGCUCCCAGGGCUUGACCCUUCUUUUUUAAUCUACAUGCUCUCCCUAGGUGCUUUCCUUUAGCCCCAUGGUGUCUUUAAAUACUAUUUGUUUGGGUCCCAAUGUGAGACAGUCUUUGUCAUUCAUGGGUUGGAAGAUGACUUUUCUGCUAAUGUGAACCACUAUAGACACCCAGUCAUUCUCCAUUCUAUUAUACCAAUUUAAGUAUCCAGGUAGCUCAUAUCCCUAUCAGAUAUUUUUCUUGUUUGUUACUUGUGGAGGGUUUUUUGGGGGGGGGGGUUGGAGGUAGGGGUGUUCUCUUUCCUUGAACUCUGUGAGACAUUGAAUAAAACAGGUGUUGAGUGAA